Molecule: long non-coding RNA, 89229 nt
Filed under: Sorghum bicolor (sorghum)
Lineage: Eukaryota; Viridiplantae; Streptophyta; Magnoliopsida; Poales; Poaceae
Description: long non-coding RNA (SBIC_LNC016873)
Rfam family: tRNA (bases 58757-58827)
Source: RNAcentral
UUUUCUUUUUUAGUGGGGUGGUGAGGGGAUAUAUGUCAACAUUACUAGGUCCCAAGAAGCAGGAGCUAACUCUUAAUUAAUCACCCCCAUGAAUUAUUGGACAUUUCUUAAUUAAACUACAUAUAUAUGCAGUGGAGUCAAAAAUUCCCUGUUAGUGGCAGGCACCCUUCGGGCCCCUCCAUGAACUCAGGGUUUGAAUCACCACCUUCCCUUUUUGCAGCCCCAUCUUUCCUAGAAGCUAAGCUAAGCUACCUGUCCAUCCAUACACCAUGGUCAGAAAAAUCGUAGAGAAUUUUGCCGACUGAUGAUUAACCAAUCAAUCUAACUGCAUCUGCCCUUUUUAAUUUAAGAAAAAAGUGACAGAGAUCAGAUUCUACCCGGUUUAGUUUACACCGGUCGGUGUCGCGGGAGAAAUGCGAAACCACUUGUACAAACGGUCCGUGUGACAUUUUGUAUGUGCGGCCACUGUUACCCCAGCUAGCUAGCUUCAUAUCUCUGUUACUACUAAUAGUAAUCAGUUGUUUAAUCUUGGCAAUUUCAUUUCUUGCCUUUGUUCUUUUGAUGAGGAUUGUGAUAACUAAUUAGACCUUGUUCACUUUGUGUUGGAUGUGAAUUAGAAUAGUACUUGAACUAAAUUCCACCUCAUUACACGCGGAUUAAGGUGAACCUGACAACUCUGAACAAAGCCGUAUUAUGGAAAUAGAAUCAUGUAACUAGUUCUGAAGAAAUAUAUACAUAGUAAAGGUGAAGAAUGAAUAGUUAAUCAAAUGAGAAAUUAAAGAGCUUACGAUUUGGCGCGUGAGGAGGAGGAUGGCGAGGAAGGCGGUGCCCAUGACGAUCGUCUGCCAUUUCCACUGCACCGACCGAUCGUUGGCAUCAGCGUGACGAGCAAUUGUGAGAGGGAACGAGGACGAUUUGUUGCGUAGCUGGUGAAUUUUAUACCAGACGCAGACAGGCUUGCUGCUCUGUCGUCAUUGCCGGCCGGCAGGCGACGACAGAGCACCGAGCACGAGGGCGUACGUACCUCGUCGUGGCGGUUGACGACGGAGCGCAUGACGUCGACGAAGCCCAUGUGAGAGGUGAAGUGCACGAUGCCGAGCAGGCUCUUGAGCUGCUGCAGCGACACGAUGACGGCGGCGCCGCCCAUGAAGCCCGUCAGCGUCGGCUUGGACAGGAAGUCGACGAUGAAGCCCAGCCUGCGAUGCAUAUGGACAUGGACGUGAGCUGCUCUGCCUUGUCUACCGCGGCGCGGCCGAUGGAGAUCGCCGGCGGCAGAUAGCGCCACCAGCCAAUGGAACAGUGUCGUUGUUUGUUCAUGCAGAAUGGCACCCACCUGAGGAAUCCCAGGGACGCCUGUAAGGCGCCGGCGAAGAAGGUGGCGGUGAAGGCCAGCUGCAGGUACAGGAUGGGCUGCUCGUCCGGCGACACGGCCUCCCGGAGCAUGGACCCCAUCACCAGCGACGCGAUGGACACCGGCCCCACCGCCAGGUCCCGCGAGCUCCCCAGCAGCGAGUAGAUGAGCGGCGGCACGAAGCUGGAAUCUGCUUGCAAUUGCAUGCAUGCAUGCACAAGGUUACUUAUUAUUCGAGAUUCAUUCGUCAAGACAACCAGCAGAGAUUGAGAUUUUCUCCUACGAAAUUAUUGCAGGCAGGAGCAAGAGAAAGAGAAGGAAGACGAAGAAACUCACAUAGGCCAAUGAUCGGCGGCAGGUUGGCGAGCUUGGCGUAGCUGAUUCCCUGCACGGCGACGGCGACCGUGUUAGAGUGAGUUAUGGCGCGCCGCACGCCGGCCGGCCUAUAUUCUGGGCAGUGCCAUAAAAAACCGUGCCAAACGUAGCUAGGAAUUGAAUGAAGGCGCGAAGAAGCAGAGGGAGGCCAGGAAGGGAAAGCAGAGGAGCACGUGCCUGCGGGAUGGCGAGGCUGGCAAUGGUGAGGCCGGCGAUGAGGUCGGAGCGGAGGAGGGUGGGGCUGUAGGCGGACCCCCACUGGAAGAUGGGGAAGAAGUACUGCAGCGCCAGCACCAGGCGCCGCGCCGACGACUGGUUCUUGAACUGGUGCAGCGGGUCGUCGGGGAAGAACACCUCGGCGAGCCGCUGCCGCAGCGCCUUCGCCACCGUCCGCCGCUCCGGCACCGACACCUUGUGCAGCUCCAGCACCGACGCCGACGCCGUGCCCUGCCGCGACACGGGCGCGGCGGGACGAGCCGAAGCCGGCGCCGGCGCCGGCGGUGGCGCUGCCGCCGCCGCCGCCGAGGCGGUGGCAGGGGGCGGCGGCGCCUCGACGUCGUACGACAGGCUGUCCACCUUGUUGUUCGCAACCAUGCCGGCUGGCUGCUGGUCAAUCGCUAGCUUCUGGUCGAUGGCGUGCGUGGUCCCCGCUGGUUUAUCGCCGGCAACGGCGGGCGGUGAGCCGGUGACCGAGGCGCGCGCGCGCGUGGGCGGCCUUGUCGAUUUGGGAUUUUAAUUCGUCGUGCCCUGAUGGCUUUCCUGCUGCAACGGCAGGGGAGUGAAGAAGGAGGAGGGAGAGAGGUGUUUGUUGUUGCCCGCUUGUUGGUUUGCUGGUUGCCUGGAUGGAUGGAUGGAUUCUUGCGGAGGAGGACGACGACGCCGCGGCGCCUUUUAUAGGAAAGGGGAGGAGGGAGACGGAGGCCGGAGGCGGGAGAAGGCAGAAGCAACCCCGGUUUGGACCACGGUCGACGAGUGAACCAACACAAGACAGGAGCAGACAAGAGCGACAGAGACUACUUACUGGUGUUGGUUGAUUUUGGGGGGGCGCCUAUUACUGGCGAAAUCGUCUUGGAGAAUUUGAGGCAUAUGGAUGCAUGGAAUUUAAUGGAGGAUUUGCUUCAUCUCUUAAUUUUUCUUAGUAUUAAUUAGUAUAGAUGGUAUAAAUCAAAGAGAGGUGUUGACUUCACUUUUGGAGGUGUUCGGUUUCGAGACUUUUUGAGAGGUUGGAUUUCUCCAACAAGAGAAUAUUCCUCGUAGAUGCGGGUUUAAACGGUUACUCAAAAUCGAGCAGACCGAACCAACUCACUUUGUCGCACGGUGCGGGCGUGGACAAGGGGGGUGGUGGCACGGGCCAUUGUGUUCACAUGUGCAGGUCGACCGAAUGGCCGUUUGCGCAUGCAAGCUGGUAUGAGGGUGGCAGGCGCAGGUGAGAUCUGUUUUAGAUCUAAAAUGUUUUUAGAUUUUGACAUACUAACACUUUCUUUUGUAUUAACUAGGCUCAAAAAAUUCGUUUUCAUAAAUUACAAAUAAACUGUGCAAUUAGUUAAUUUUUUAUCUAUAGUUAAUGCUCUAUAUAUGUGCCGUAAGAUUCAAUAUGAUGAGUAAUCUUAAAAAGUUUAUAGAUUUUGGGGCAAACUAAAGAAGACAGCAAUGCUCGGGUUGAGGAGGGCGUAUUUAAGCAGCCAGUUGGAGCGUAGAGUUUCAUGAACAUUAAAUAUGUUGAUAUGACACUAUAUUAAUGAAGAGAGAGAUGAUAAUAGUUUCAUAGAAGUAGAAAGAUUUUCACGAGGAUAAAACUCCUUUGCACUGUUUUUAAAAUAUGGAUGCGUUGGAAACUAGGUCAAAAUGACCUUAGAUACUUUCUUAGUUUGCACUAUUUGUCCAUAGAUCAACUGUCUGCAUUCGGAGGCAUUAAUUAAGAAAUAAAAAACCCAUUGAGGGUGUAUCCUCAUUAAAUAAAACAAUAAUUAAGGAAAUUGAGUGGAUAAACUACAACAACUAUACUCUUUGACUUCUUUGGUGGUCAAAUAUUUUAAAACAUAUAUUCUCGUGAGGCUUGGACAAGCAUGGUUAAACAAGAGAGCAAGGGAACAAAAACGUGUCCUCAACAAUCUAACCUUAAGGGCACUCACAAUGCAGACUCUAUCAUAGAGUCUAAAAUUAUUUAUUACCUCGAACAAUGUGGACUUAGAGUCUAAAUAAGACUUGGAGUCUUAUUUUUUCUACCUCUUUCUUCAAUAAAUAUGGUGCCAUAUCAGCAAAAUACCAUAAAUAAUAUAUAAUUAAUUAUUUUAGACUCUGUGAUAGAGUCUUGCAUUGUGAGUGCCCUAAGAUCACUAUUAUUUUGCCUCUCUCUUUUCUUAAUGCUAAUUUUGUUUUCUCCCUUCAAUUAAAUUCUUUCUUUCUAAACAAAUGAAUCCCUAACAUGCAUGGCCCGUCUUUACUUGGUAGUCUCACUGUUCACAAAAGAAUAUAAUUCUCACUCUUCGAAAAGUCAAACGGUUUAAACUUUGAUUAAACUUAUAUAAAAGUGUGCUAACAUUCUUUAUGAUAUAAAAUAAGUACAAUUAAAUUAGCUAUAGAAUAUAUUUUUAUAAUAAAUGAUUUAAAUACAUAAAUAUUUAUAUUAUUCACUAUAAAUUUAGUCAAACUUGAUAGGCGUGGAUCCGAUAUGGGCAAAAAAGAUUAUACUCGGUAUAUGCCCUGAUUUAAUACAUGCAUGUAAACACGCGAAGUUAAAAAGUAAAGUACUAGUUAUUUGAGGCAUAUAUGGAAGGAUGCACACGACUUGAAUUAUAAAAUAUGAAAGAAAUGUGGUGCUGACCAACAAAAUAAAUACUAAUUAACUUGCGAUUUCCAUAUGAGCAAGUUUUCAUGCUACGAGAUUCAUAAAACCCAACCUGUUAACUGCCGCAUUGGUGUAGAAGCCUUAUUUUCUAGGUUGACAUACUAUUUUUAUUGACAAUUAUAGAGUAAAAAAGAAAUUCAAACUAUCUACAGUGUCGCACACUCACACGCCCUCUACCGGUAACUUGUCCACUUGGGUCAACUCUCUCACAAAAUAACAAGUUCAUCCGUCAACUAUUAGAGAUAGAAUCAGUAGUUGACUGUACGCUGCAUUGAUCAAUCACUGUGGUAGCAGGUCUAAUGAGUAUUGGGCCUACCUGAAAAAUAACAAAGGCAGAUAUAAAUUGACCAGAUGAUCUCAACAGGUUCAUUACGCUUCUCCCUCUUAUAACAAAGGCAGAUAUGGAAGAGCCUCCUAUAAGAUUAACGUUUUGUUCGUCUGUUGCUCCUUGAAACCACACAUGACACCAUAAAAUUCAGAGUUUUUUUCCUUGAAUUACUAUAGAAACUAGGUGAAUUCGCCGCGCGUUGCUGCGGGAUUUUCUUAAAAAUAAAUCAUUAUAUAUAUAGCACUACUAUGCGGUAUUUAGUCUAUUAUGUAUGUACAUAUAUGAAUUUAACUUGUAUGUAUUUUAUUGUAUUAGAUCUAGUAAAAAUUGCUAAGCUAAUAUAAAACAAAAACUAAUAUUUGGUUACAUUAUAGAGGAAUUAAUUGGUGAUGAAACAAAUAAUGUAUGUACAUGACUUGUAUGUGAAUAUAUUAAAGAUUUAAAGUAUUUCACAUGAUAUAGAUGAAAUGGUUAUUUUUUAUAAUUAAUAUGGAAUGAUAUGGACUUAGUAGAGAAUGAUGUGGACAUAUUACAUGAAGAGAUAAAAUAUUUAGUGGGUCAUUUAGUGGGAAAUGAUGUGGACACCUUGCAUGAAGAGAGAAUUCAUCUAGUGAGGUUUAGCUUUAUAAGAGUUAUAGAUAGAUACAGACGUUUGUACAAGCAGGUCUCCUUGUUUGUUUGGCUACUAAGCUAUAAUAGAAAAUAUUAUUGACUGAUUUGUUGUGAGAGAAAAAUACUCCUGAAUGACUGACAGAUUUAGCUGAUAAGCUCAAACGAACAUACUAUCACUAACAAAUAAAAUUACAUGAGACUACCCUGUCUAUUUAGACACAAGAACAUGCCAUGAUUGAUAAAUCGUAGCCUGACCAAUGGAAUUUCUGACGAUUGUUGGUCGGCUUCCUUUUAUUUUCCCAAUUCGAAUCUACUCCUUAGUACUCGCUCAGUUCUAAAACUAACUGCCGUUUUGAGUUUUAUAUCGCAAGUUUCGCGCAAUAUUUAUAUUUCUAAAUAAAUUUAUUAAAAAACUAGAUUCAAUGAUGUUUCAAGAUACUAAUUAUGUAUCAUAGUAAGUUUUAAUAUUUUUUAAUAUAUAUUUAGUCAAAAUUGUUUUUUAAAAAGUGAGAAUAAUAAUUAUUUUGAGACGUAGCGAGUACAUAGCAGUAGACAGUAGUAAAAUAUUAAAAAAAUCUCUCUCCUCUACUAGCAGUGAAUCUGUCUCGAAUCCAGUGCCACCCCUAGUAAAAAGGGAAGCAGAUUCACCACUCUCGCAAAAACAAAAGGAAGAAACUCCUGGUGGAAGGUGAAUACCUUUUUGCCCUUUUAGCUCUUGGAUGGACGAUGGAUGCUGGGAUGGCGGCCCACAAUUGGUGGGGUAAGUUCACUGGAUCACUUUGUGCUCAUAUGCUCAGUGGGGUGCCCAAUUUUAACGGUCGUGUAUAUCCAUCCGGUGGCCAUGCUUAAUUAUGAGCACACAGCUUUGUUUAGUGAAAGUGCAGUAUGUAGGGGAAGGAUAGAUUCCAGGGCGGCGUGUGUCCACGCCACGUGUGCACUGAUCGAUGGGCCCACAUGUGUGGCGGGGCAAGUAACAUGUGUAGGCUUUGGAGUUAGGAAUGAUGUUUGGAGCACACCCAUGCUUGACCCAUACAUUAAUUACUUUGGGAAAGGGGUGUGUUAUUUUAACUAAAAAAAUGAAAAGAAGCAAAUGAAGGCAUUCAUUCCUUCUCCAAAUAUGAUGCUAUAAAUAAUGGCAGAUGGAUUAUAUUCACUCAAGAUAGCUUGAUAUCUACUCGCGCUGAUUAUUCAGGAGUUCAUUUGUUUAGUAAUCUAUUGUCAAUCCAUUUAAGUUAAAAUACCCACAUUAAAUAAAUUCUUAUUUGGCAGACACUGAUGUAUCGUCCAUAACAUGAGGGAAAUUGCAGAGUGACGACAUGUUAAGGAUUAUCCAUAUGCUAGCACUAUUAUUGGAGUAGAAGGGUAUAUAUAUGGCACGGAUGUUUUUAUAAUACCGUAACGAGUAAGAUUAUCUUAAGUAGAAUCUAUGGGGGAAUGCAAAGCUAGCAUUAAAAACUUAAGCUAAACAAGCAUGCAACACCACUCCGGCGGAGAGUCGUAAUUGUUUGUUCGGUGCAAUAUAAUGCUACUUACUAGCUACACUUUCACAUUUUUGGAGACAUGCAUGUUGAGCUAGCUAGUACCUUCUGAACCGUCAGUUGUGACAUGAGCACCAAGAGCUAGCCAUGAUACCAACUGCUAACAUUUCAAUGACAAGGGACAACUAUCACUUACCGCAUAGAGUGGAACUUCCAAUUAUUCAUCCUUGCAGUCAAUAGCCUAUAUAUACCUUCCUUCCAAAGGUGACCUAUAUGUACCUACUGCCCUACAUUUUCUUGCAAACUUUGAGGAACAUUUUGAAUGAAGGUAACGAAAGAUGCAUGACCACCUUAGUGGAUGGCCAUGUGAAAUGCAUACACAUAUAUAUAGCGCCUAUCGGUGUCACACCCAUAUUUUAAGAGCAAAAUAGGAUGCAUAAAAGACUCAUAUGUGCCCCAGGAAUAGUCGCACACAUAAGUAGACAAAUCUCAAAUGUACCAUUGCAGUGUUUAUUACAUAGCGGAAUAUAAUAAAUCACAUAGUCUCAUACAAAAAUGAUAGCAUAAAGUAAUCCACGCUCUCGACGGAAGCUCCACACAGGGACACUGUUGACUGGUUGACUCCAAACCUAGUACUCAUAACGGUAAUCCUCAUUCCAGUCAUCUUCAUUAUCAUAUCCUGAGGUGUUGGGAAAUUGCAAGAGUGAGCACAUAUCAUACUCAACAAGUAUAACCAGGGGUUCAUGAGGCUCAAAUAGCUGACACUGGUUUGACUGCAGUUAGCUUUUAAUAGUGGAUAGCAUGUUCAUAAUUAAUGAGCAAUUGUCAAGGUAGCAUAAAUAAUCCAUUAAUCACAUGAUCAAGUGUAAGCAUAAUUAAUCUCAUAGCAUAAACGGUAAUCAAAUGAACAUAAUAACAUAAUAAGCUCAUCAUCUUAAUGUAGAUGUCCCCAAGGCCGCUCCUGACCGUGAGCUCGGCUAGUAUACCAGUUUUACACUCUGCAGAGGUUGUACAUCUUUACCCAUGAGUCAUGAUUUACCCUUUCGUCCGAGGGGAUCAGCCUCUUAACCCACUUCCAAGGAAGGUCGGCAGGGAUCACUAUGAAGCCUUUCAAAGGUUUCGUCUAACAAGUUAGGGCCAUUAGAUUCACUCGGCAGGCAGAUAUAGAGCCCCUCUUCCAUGGCACAUAACCCGCAGCCUAUACACACGGACAGAGGCCACACUAUACCCAACGUGUCUAGCCAUUCUUACGCCAUUUAAGGUAACCGCUAACAAGCUAGAAAAAAGUCCUCAUACUGAGCUAAAGCCAGAGCCAUUAUAGCCCUCAUGGUUGCACUCUUAUCCCGGGUGAUCACGUACAGGCAAAUCAUCAAGUUACUAAAAAGUCAUUUUUAUCAUUUAUUACUUAACAUUAAUCUAGCCACAGGAUCAUGAUCACAGAAAUAAAAUCCAAAUGCUAUACUUGCCUUGAUCAAAGCUCUCCUAAGCCUGCUGGUCUUCAAAUGCUUGAGCUUGAGCACCAACGUACAGCUCACCGUCUAUUCCCAAACAUCAAUCAACAACACGCAAUCCAAUGGAGACAAUCAUACACAAAGCAAACAAGGUAUAAUUAGAACAUUACACCAAACAGUGGUAAAACAAAUAUAAAAGUUUAUGAAAAUAUUCUACGCAGCGCUACGAUCACACAAACGUAAAGUUCACGACAAUCGGAGUUAAAACGGAGAAGUUAUGCAUUUUCCAAGAUUUCCUAUAGAGAAAUAAUUAAUUAAAUAGUACCAGGAAAUUAAAAAGUUUCAAAACAGUAAACUAAUAUUUCUAUCAUGUAGAGCAUUUAAAUACGAAGCUAACGCAAUUCGAAUGGGUCAAAUCGGACUUAAAAUGAGCAUUUUAUAACCAAAACAGUUUCAAUGGCAUUUCUGUAAAUUCAGGAAAGCGUAUUUUGACUAACACGAUCGGAAAUGCGUAUUCCAAUCAAGAAAACGUAUUUCCCGAAAGGCGCUUGGACUGCGCGUUAAAAUGUAAAACUUUCCAGGGGCUCUUAAACAAAAAGUGCAGCGAACCGUUUUCUUCUAAUCUGGGCGCUUGGUUUUGGAUCCUACGGUUGAGAUCGCUCCGGGGAAAAACGGGCGGCGGGCCGGCCGGAGCUAUGCCUUCUCACGGCGGCGCGCCAUUGAAGCCGCCCUGGAGCUCGCCGUCGCACGCAGUUUCCGCGAAAACAAGCACGAAACGGAGAACAAAAAGUACCGGUGCGAAGAGAAGGGAGAGGCGAGCUCGCCUACGGUAUUCUUUCGGCCGGAGAUGGCUCAGAGAGGUGCCACUAUGCGCGGCGGCGGAAUCAACCCUCGGCGAGAUCCAACUCGGUGUUGUGACGAGAUUAGACGGUUUUCUUGGUGCAUAGAUGGAAAAGGGGUGCGCGGGCGAAGCUAGGAGCCUAAAUAGGGCUCGGUUGGAUGCGAUUAGGAGGGAAAUCCCGGGAUAUCGGGCUUGGCUCGAUCCGGCCGAGUCCAACUCCCUCACGGCGAGAGGAAGGAGGAGAGCUGCGCGCUGACAAGUGGACCCGGGAUGUCAGCGAGACAAAGAGAGAGGAGGGUGCGGGCUGGCUGGGCCACGGGGAAGGAAAGGAAAUUGGGCCGAGACAAGGGGGAGGGAGAAUGGGCCGCGGCUCCAACGGGAAAAAAAAGGAAGCUGGGCUUGCUGGUUUCCAGGGGUUUCCCCCUUCUUUUUUUUUCCUUUUUUUUUCAAUUCUUUUUCCCAGGAGUUUUUGAGCAAAACAAUUAAAAUAAAACAGCACAAAAAUAACUAUGCUCCAGCAUGAAUGCAAAAUCACAUUUCAAACCUUAUGAUGAUUUUUAUUCUCCACAAAAUAAUUUAUUUGCUAUAUCCAAUGCCCAAAAAAAAUACUUAAAUAAAACAAAUUACUUCCUAUUAAAUAAAAUUCAAAUUUUGGGUGUUACAAUCGGCCGGGCCGGCAGCCCCCAAUCGUGUGGUGAGUGAGGACGAUGUGAUAUUAGAGGCCAAUUUGGCAACAUGAAACUGUCGGCCAGCAAAUGCACCCUCAAAAAUAGAUACAAGAGUGGAGCACCAAAACCAGCAAAUUAAUGCUAAUAGACUGGUAGGCAUCCUCCAUGAUGUGUUCCAUUACUUGAUCAAAUUCAUCUUGUGCAUUGUAUCAUCGGUCAUGUUCUAAACAGCUUGCAUGGAUUCUCAAUUUGGGGUUCUAGCUAGCUAGAUAGGUGUAUAUAUAACAAAUAAACGUCCUCUUCUAGGUGUAUGUAGGAAAAAGGAGCUGUCGAGUCACCCUAAAUGAGGUCGAUAACGCCACAUAUAUGUUCCGGCCAAUAACCAAAACAAACUAGAUAGGUACAUACAAGGUGAAACGCACACGUGUAUCUUUGCUAUGUACGGUUGAUGUCCGUGCGUGGAUGUGUGUGAUUGCGUCUUGACUUAGCUGAUAGCAUGUGCUGAUGUAGCUAAACACCUGAAAGGUCCUAAUAUGGCUAGAGGGGGGGUGAAUAGCCUAUUUAAAAAUUCUACAAAAUCACUAGAGCAAAAGAUUAGUAAAUAACAAAGCGAAGCUUUUUGCUCUAGCUCUAAAGGGGUGUUUGCAAGCCACUUACCCAACAAUUCUAGUUGCUAAGAUCUCUAUGCAUACAAGAACUAAGUCUCUACAAGUCAAAGUAAGCAACUAAACUAAUUACACUAGUUUGCGGUAAGUAAAGAUAAGAUGAGAUAUUUAUACCGCCGUGUAGGGGAUAAACCAAUCACCAAUAUAAACAAUCAAGCACCGGGAGAAUGCCAAUCAAACACAAUUGAGACACCGAUUUUUCUCCCGAGGUUCACGUGCUUGCCGGCACACUACGUCCCCGUUGUGUCGACCAACACUUGUUGGUUCGGUGGCUAAGAGGUGUAGCACGAACCUCGUCCUCACUAGGACACCACAAGAACCCACCCACAAGUGAGGUAACUCAAUGACACGAGCAAUCCACUAGAGUUACCUUUCGGCUCUCCGCCGGGGAAGGUACAAGACCCCUCACAAUCACCGGGAGAUGGCCACGAACAAUCACCAACUCGUGCCAAAGCUCCUCCGCUGCUCCAAGCCGUCUAGGUGGCGGCAACCACCAAGAGUAACAAGAAAACCACAGCUAGAACGAUCCCCAAGUGCCACUAGAUGCAAUCACUCAAGCAAAUGCACUUGGAAUCACUCCCAAUCUCACAAAGAUGUUUAAUCUAUGAAGGAGAUGAGUGGGAGGUGUUUGCUUAGGCUCACAAGGAUGUCAAGUAUGUUAGAAUGCCAAGUGUGUGAGCCCCAAGCCGGCCAAACACGUAUAUAUAGCCCCUCAAACGAAUAGAGCCGUUGGCUCUUUCACUAGGCAAAAAAAAAUCGGGAUCACCGGACGCACUUAAAGGGGCACCGGACGCUCACAGGGAGCCACCGGACGCUCAACACCCAGCGUCCGGUGCUCAGCUAACCGCCAUGUGUCACUAGCCGUUUGAAGUCGACCGUUGCCGCCAACGGCUACUGCGCACGCGCGCCUGCACAGCACCACCGCACGAUGAGCACCGGACGGUCCGGUGCUCACCGGACUCGUGCGCAGAGAGUUUGUCAAACUCGCGACCUCACCGGACGCUAGGCACCGGACGGUCCGGUGCUCACCGGACUCGUGCGCAGAGAGGGUUGCAAAAACCCCUCACACCGGACGCGCACCACCGGACGCUCAAGCCAGCGUCCGGUGCCUAUCGUCCGGUGCCUUACCCUAGCUGGGCCAGGCACUGUCUGCACACCGGACGCUCAGACACAGCGUCCGGUGCCUCUAAGCCAGCGUCCGGUGAGUGUUUUCUCAGCGAGAAACACUCCCGCGACUUCACCAAAUUUCCCUCCGGCGCAAUAGAAAAUAUGCACUUCAUUUUCUCGAAAAGCGCCGAAUCCCGCCUCGCAAGCUCGGUGGGAGGGAGAGAGGAACCCAUCCUCUCUCAACCCUUCAAACUUCAACUCCCUUCUCAAAGUGUGCCAACACCACAAUGUGUAAACCAACAUGUGCACGUGUGUUAGCAUUUUCACAAUCAUUUUCUUCGAAGGAGUUAAGUUAGCUCACUAGGUUCUAAAUGCAUGCACAUGAACAAUGACACCUAGUGGCACUUGAUAACCGCUUAGCCAAAGAAUUCCCCUCUUUAUAGUACGGCUAUCUAUCCUAAAUGUGAUCACACCCUCUAUGGUGUCUUGAUCACUAAAACCAAAACCCUAAGCAAUACCUUUGCCUUGAUCUCCAUAGGGUUUGUUUUUCUCUUUCUUCUUUUCCAAGUUGAGCACUUGAUCAUCUUGUGGUCAUCACCAUCAUCACCAUGAUCAUCACUUGCUCCAUCACUUGGCAUGUACCAACCUUAUUAAGUCUACACACACUUAGUAUAGAGGUUAGUACUUAGGGUUUCAUCAAUUAUCCAAAACCAAACUAGGGCUUUCAACACCCCUCACCAAAUUAAAUAGCCCUAACCUGCUACUCGGCUUUGUCAUGACUCACGUGCGUCCUUGAGGCCCCUAGUUCCUCGACAUCGGUGUGUGUUGUACCAUCAUCGUCUCUCAAUCUACCCCUUGCUGAUGAAGAACCACCAAACAUAUAUUCCCUUUAUUACGCUGGAGUCGUAUAGAUCGAUUUGAGAGGUGCAAAGAUCCAAAUCGAUCAUUCAAAGCUAAAAUUUCAGGAGACACAAGGAAAUUUUCCCAUGGUUCGGUUGGCCACAAAGGCUGACGUACUCCAUGUUGUUAAGGUUAGCCACAAAGGCUAUGGAGUCUCUUGCAACUCACUCCUCUUCUCCAACCUAUCACCAAAUCAAUAAGUUGGAGGAUUUCACUAAUCACAAAGGGUAAUACAAACUUCUCGAUGCUCAACCACAAUGGAUUGGGAGCUUCCGGGCGACCGCUAACCGUUUAGGAGCCAAGCUCCAAGAGUAAUGAACACACCAAGCGGCUAGAGAUUCGCCAAGUGCUUGAGAACGGAAGAGGAUGAUCUUCUUGAGCUUUCUUACACUCUCUAAAGUCAAAUCCUUCAAGGAAUCACAAAGAUUUGAGCAAGGGAGUUGAAGCACUAAGCUUGGGAGAGAGAGAGAGAGCUUCUGUCAUGAGUCUGAGUGAAUGAGGAACAAGAUAACCGUUAGGGGCGAAGGGGAUAAUAUAAGUACCAUCCACAUCACCCACAAAAUGGUGGGUCAACAGACCUGGAACCUCCAUGUCAGAGCCCAGAGGUUCCACGCUGGCCAGAGCAGAAAGGAAUUCAACACGGCUGGCUGUUUGUGGCUGGGAUAAUUUGAGAUAAGUGAGGUAUGAUAAGCACUUGGUUUCAUCCCAAACCACUAUUAUUAUCCCCCUUGAUAGUACGGCUUGUCCUAUGACCCAAAUUCAAAAAGCAAAAAGAAAUAACUCACCCUUGAAGCUGUUGCAAAGCAUCCAUUUGAAUUUGGGGGGUCUCCUCCUUUGUUGAUUGGCACCCAAGACUGAUGCUAUGCUGCCACACACACUGGUCAAAGUCAUUAGUUCUUUAAUUAUGCUAUCAACAUCACUAAAACCCACUUAGAGCUUGAUUGCACUUACACUAGCCACCAAGCAUCCUUUGGUCAUGUUGCUGAGCUCACCACAAAGGCUUUUGUAAUAAAGGCAAGUUUUGCAUGCCACUAAGGCUCAUCACCACCGACUAACUCUCUCGGUCACCUUGACACCAUCCACUAUAUGAUACUUCUUGCACACACCAAGAUGUCACUACUCUAUGCACAAGACCCUUCUUGGAGUGCAAGCCUAUUAAAGCCCAACAUUCAAUUUGACGACAUCCUGAUACUGUAUGGUGGAGGCAUAACUCUUUCAUACAGAGUUCGAUGGAGACCCAUGAAUACUUGAUGAAAAUAUUAUUAGAUAACCUUUAAAAUAUAUUUAGUCCUACCUCGAUAUCAUAUUGGCAAUGCCUCUAAAUCAUCACAAUAUAUUGCUGAUGGUCCUGUUAGGUGUUGCGUCACAGUUUAUCGGGCCUUGGGCCUUGUAAUCACCCUUGUACUCCGGACAAGUUGGAGUGUGCUCCUACGAGGUGGAGGUGGAGCAUGCCCCCAAGGGCGCCCUAGGUCAUCCUCUCCUUGGCCACCUCCUCCUGAGUUGUUGUCACCUAUUCUCUUAUAUACUUUUGUUGUGAUUACUUUUAGACUUGGCUUUUGCUUAGAUUAUCAUUGAACAACUUUGUCAUCGUUGGUUUGUGAAACCCUAACUUUGAGCAAUUUCAAAUUGUGUUUUAUGUGUUUUUGCUUGUGUUCUCAAAUUCAUUUGCAGAAAUUAGCCUUCUUUGCGAAGACAAUCAUGCCUCAUGUGGUUGAUAACCAACAAAGCAUUAGUGUAGUGAUUGUAAGGAUUUUAACUUUGAACCUCCUAGAGCUGUUUCAUUAAAAAAACCUCCUAGAGCUGUUUUGAUCACCAGCGUCGAGUUCUCCACCAAAUUUGACCUAUCUUUCAAAAGAUCAUGCCUAGUUCUCCCGCUAUGAUACGUUGGUGCUCAUCAAGUUAUCCAGUGUUUGACAUAGUGAGGAAUAGUUAUUGUUUCUUCUCCAUUUCAACUUGUAUCUUGGUCAAACUUGUUCCAUAUAUAUACAUCCAUAGAAUCUAUAUGAAUCUGUCUAACAUAUCUUAACACAUAUUAAUCUUAGUGAUUAAUUGGUAUAUCGUCUGAAUCACCAAAACUACUCAUAACCAUGCACAUGGGCACAUGAUGCUUACAAAAGUGCCUAGCCUCGUUGAAGUUGCCUGGUUUGCCACAUUGUGGCAUGUUGCUUACCACCAAAAGAAUAGAUCAUGAAUGAUUUUCUAAUUUCACUUGGCUUGUUAAGCUUGUCUUGAAGGACCUCGAGAGACUGGGUAACAUAUAUUCAUAUUGACAAAGUCACCACGCAUGUCUUGUUGAUGGAUAGGUUAGGGGUGGACCAACCCUUGCCCUAGCUCACCAUAUGCUAAAGUCAUUAGCAAUCCAUGUCUAGCUAUUGGGUAAUACCGAAGAUGCAAAGUAAAAGUGUUAGUCUUGCUAAAGUUGCUCGGUCUGCCACUAGGACAUGUUGUCUAUCAUCGAAAGCAUAGUUACUCGUAAAUUCAAGCACCCUUGUUACGGUGAGGCAGAGUCUCAAUCCGUGGUGGAUUGGUUCCACGACAGGAAACCUUUAACUAGCUAAAUUACAAUCAGAGGUGGGGCAGGCAAGACCAGUGUUGGGGAUGUUUUUGCAACUAGUCCUAGCCAUUUUGUUUAAUUUAGGUGAAUCAUGUAAUGUUUUUUUUAGAUUAAGGAAUAGAAACAUCCCAGCCUUCACAUUCACAAGUGAAUGCUUAAGGCACAAACUUACAAGACCUGGACAUAGUCCUCAAACCCGCUAAGCAGGCAAUCAAGAAAAAACCUGUGACCUUACAUAAAAGGCACCUGAAAAAAUCAAACACUAGCAAGAUACUAAGCACAAAUCACCAAGCAGGAUCAGAAGCCAAAGCAAAAGGACUCUACGCUUCUAUCCGUUUCUGAUUCUUCUAGCCACAUGAGCCAAAGAGUUGUAGCGCCACUCCUUCCAAAAGACUACAGCCUUGUUUCAUCAUUUUUCCCUCUUCCUCUUUAGACAACAGUGACCAUUGCCUGAUCCAAAAAGUCCCUCUGAAAAUUACCUGCAAGUAGGAGUUAGCCAUUAAAUUUUGGAACACCACAUCAUUUUUAUUCAACCAUAGUACCCAACAUAUGGCAGCAACUCCCACUAAAAUCAGUUUUCUUGGCCCUGGAGCGAAUAUCCUUAUCCAAGAACCAAACAAUUGGUAGGUGCCUUUUGGUGGUUGAAUGUCAAAAGUGAUGAAUAUUGUGUUCCAGACAAAUCUAGCCACCCUGCAAUCGAAGAAUAGGUGUUAGAUGUUUUCAUCCAAGCCACAGAGAUUACACUUAGAAUCACCUUUCCAUCUCCUUUUCAGUAGAUUAUCUUUUGUUAGGAUUACCCCUCUUUUUAGGUACCAUAGAAAAAUCUUAAUUUUUAACGGUACAUUUGCUUUCCAGAACACUUCCUUACUAGAAACACUCUCGGUUUUCAUUAUCUCUCUGUACAAUGACUGUGUUGAGAAGACUCCAUUUUUUUUAAUUUGCCAAAUGAAUUUAUCUGUCAUUGUUUAGAUUGACAGUUAGCACUAAGGAGACAAGUUCGAGCCACUCCUUCAAUCUCUCCCCCACAAUUCCCCGUCUAAAUGAAACAUUGAGCGGAGUUGAACUGAGCUGCUGAGCACCCUAGCUACUGAAACCCCUUUUUUCCUUACUAUCCUGUACAGGUCUGGGAAUUUUUGCAUUAGCGAUUGUUGCCCAAUCCACACAUCCUCCCAAAACCUUGUCUGAUUAUCACUAUUUACCUUGAACCUUCCAUAUUGGAAUAGCACUUCCUUCAUUUCCAUCAAGCCUGACCAAAAGUGUGAGUCUCCCGGGCGCUUUUCUAUUUGGGAUAGGCAUUUGUCCUUGACGUACUUCUUUCUAAGCAUAUUCUGCCAUAAGCCAUCUUCAUUAAAGAGUUUGAACAGCCAUUUACUAAGUAAGCACUUGUUAUGAACUUCCAAGUCUAAAAUUCCUAAUCCCCCCAUGCAUCUUGGCUUACACAGUAUGCUCCAUUUUGCUAGCCUGUACUUUUUCUUAUGCUCAUGGCACUGCCAGAAAAAUCUAGACCGAUAGUAGUCCGGUCUUUUCCGCACCCCUUUAAGUGUGGAACACUAGUAGUUUUACUCGUUCAAAUUUUGCUUAGCAAUAGAAUCUCCUUGAAGGCAUUUCUGACUGACUCCGCUCCUGAUUACACUACUCCACCAAAUAAAAUAUGCAACUUAACUACCGGUGAUGCAAAUGCAAUUUGACUUAUCACACACUCCAGCUGUGUAAAUCACACAGACCGAAUGCAGCAGGACGAUGCAGCUCUGCACCACCCGUUUUACACUGCCUCCUGGACCACUGUACCGGCCUGUCCAUUUCCUGAACUCACGGGCGCGCCGGCGGCAGGUCAACCACGAGACGAGACCUCCCGUUGAUGAAGUGGCUGAAACUGAAGUUGUGCUGGCCGGUACGGUGCGCCAAGCCAAUCAAAUCUUCCCGGCCACUACGGACGGAUGAGGUCAACGCGACGGCGCUCUUUUGUUGUGUGAUGGAUGGACGCAGCACGGCAGCAGCUAAUAAAGCCUGAACCGGCUGGUGCCUGGUGUGGUCGUGUGUGCUUUUUGCUAGUGUAGUAGGUUAGGAUUUGGUCACUGCACACUCUAUACGGUAUAGAGGCUAGCUUGCGCGCAUAUGAUUGGAGAGCCACUCAGAUCGAUCAGACGCAUGUAUACACAUCACCAUCAAUAUAAGAGUGAUCGAUGCGUUUCUCAGCUAUGAUCAUAUCAUCAUCAUCAUCAUCAUUCAGAGGUUCACUACUAGCUGUACUUAUCGACCGAGGCACGCGUUAGAGAUAUAUAUUGCAGAUCGAAUAUAUGCAUGGAUGCGUACCCGUGUACCGUAUACCAUGCAUGGACAGAUCGAUCGACUGCUCGUGCUGCAAUGCAUGCAUGUGCUGCUCGUCCGGAUAGAUUGGAUCCAUCUCUAUCUCUCAACACCAACAAAAUAUGCUGCCGAAAAGAAUGUGAUCGAUCGAUGUGCGUGUGUGCUUAAGCAUGAAGUGUCACGGGUGUUGCAUCGUUUUCCGUCGUCGUUCAAAGAUCGAAUACGGUUCUCCCCUGAAAGCCAGCGGCCAGCCUAGACUAACUGGCUAAGGACGACGACGUAUAUAGUACACACAAGACACAAGUCCCCCCACAGAACAAAUGCAUGCAAGCACAAGACGCAAGCAAGCGUACGUACGUCCGCGGUCGUGAUCAGUGCGAGAUUACACGUAUCAUUUGCGCUUAAUUUGUUUUCCUGAUUCCCUGGAUCAGCACGUACGUACGCCCACACACCACCACUCAAUCAACAUAGUAAGUAUACUAUACCUUUCGUUGAGAACAUGUAUGUGUAUUGUACUUGCACAGUUGCGAUAUCAAUCAUCACCGAAAAAAAGUCUUUCAUUGCAUUGUAGUACCAAAAAAGAAUCCACCAACUGAGGAGUAACGGAAUUGAUGACUUUGUUAGGCACUUAGGCAUGAGCAUUAACUCUGAUCAGCAAGAUAGAUCAACAUCCAUCGCCUACCUUGACUUGUUGAAUAUAUGCACUCCUUUGUUCCAGAAAGAAUGGAAGUCUCGAUCCCCCAGCAUUCAAACAAUCUUAAAUUUGACUAAAUUUAUAGAAAAUACUAGUAAGCAUUCGUGUCUUCAAAAUAUACAUAUUUAUUAUAAAAUAUAUUUCAUGACUAAACUAAUGAUAUUUAGGGUCUAUUUGACACAACUCAUAAUAAUUGUUUUUUUAUAAAAUACUAAUUUCCAAAAUAGCUUGAAAUUGUUUUUCUCGUCCUAGAUACGAGUUGGGAUAAAACUGAAAAAAGUAGUUUAUCCUAGCUUCAUCUUACAUAUUAUAGUCAUUCUAUUCAUUUUUCCAUCUAGGAGUUGUUUUACCAAACACUUAUUCCAAAACAGCCUAGCUUUAAUAAGAAAGUUGCUUAUGAAGCUAUUUUGUAUAAAACACAGCUAUAGAUGAAGCUGAGCUGUAUCAAAUGGGGCAUACGCAUCAAAAAAUAGCAGAGCCGUUUGAAUAUUACUUGGUUAAAAUUUGGAUUGGUUUGACUGGUCAGGAUAGAUAUUUGGAGUAUAUAUGUACUCUAUAUAUAUGUCUCACAAAAAGUGUCAUCGUUUAAAUUUAAAAAAAAAGUGUCAUCGUAGAAUUCAAAUUUUGUAUUACAAAGAAUGUCACUAUAAGCAAACAUGCAGGGAUACUUUCUAGCCCUACUCACACAUGAAAGACACGAUAAACUAUCUUUUCAUAAGGGUAUGACCAUUUGACAAUAGAAUUGUCUUGUUUGGUACAACUCUGAUUCAAUAACGGUAGUACAUCUAAAAGAGAGAACUAGGGGAAGCAGAUAGUUUUUUUUUUAGAAAAUCAGGAGAGGUUUCCCCCUACUGUAAAUUUAUUAAUUGAAACAAAAGCACAAAGUCCAGAAGGUUUACAUCAUGAAACAUAGAACCCCUUAGGGCACUUACAAUGCAAGACUCUAUCACAGAGUCCAAGACACUUAAUUACAUAUUAUUUAUGGUAUUUUGCUGAUGUGGCAGCAUAUUUAUUUUAAAAAUAGAUAGAAAAAAUAAGACUCCAAGUCUUAUUUAGACUCCAAGUCCACAUUGUUCGAUGUAAUAAAUAACUUUAGACUCUAUGAUAGAGUCUGCAUUGUGAGUGCCCUUAGGGGACUGGAUUUUAAAAGAGCUCAACUUGAGAAACUAUUCUUUUACCUAAAAAAUAGCUUGCGAAUACAUGCACGCAAACCCUACUUCUAUGAGCACCUCCGAAAGACUGUGCUGAUAUAUCUCGAGAUUGAUAAAGUCACCAAAGAUACCUCAUUGCCGACGAGAAUGUCGGCUACCCCUAAAAGUAUAACGCCGUUAAAUCCUAGAAUAUAGUACAUCUAAAAGAUAGAGCUAGGGGAAGAUGAUAGUUUCAACCCCUUCUGGCGCAUGUCCACCCCUUACGGGACUAGAUUUUAAAGAGCUCCACUUGAGAAAACAUAUGUACGCAAACUUCACCUUCGAAAGACUGUGCCAGCUCAUUUUGAAAUUGAUGAAGUCACUACAAACGUCUCACUACCGAUGAGAACGUCGUCUGUCUACUACUGGAAAUACAGCACGUUAAAUUCUGAACUAAAUCUAGAAAAAUACGAGCACAUAUGCCAAGUUAAUUCUAAGUGGACAAGUUUUACGAUAAAGAAACUAACCAACUGAACUAGUCUUAGGCUUUAGUUCGUAGAUGAGUCUUGUUCGGUAUGGGCAGCACAGCACCUCAUGGAGGAGAAAAGAUCGAUGGUGGAGCUAGCAGGUACGGGUGGAAAAGGAGAUCUACUACCAGAGGCCAAACGCGUUGACACAUGGGCGACCAAAGGAGACCGGCCACUGAGAAGAUAGACGAGCCAUUCGCCUUGAUGGAGAGCUCCAUGCUCCAUUGGAUGUGACAGUGCAUGCGUCCACCAAUGGCCGCCGAAUGGAGAAUCUCUCCUUUACUGUUCGUUUCCAGUGCAAAAUCAUAUCGAUCGGCUUCUUUUUCGGGGGGAAGCGGCGAGUGGUAGGCGUAGGAGACGCGAGCGGACGGCCUUUGACGUGCCUUUGCAAAUUUUAUUCCCUCGGUCUCGGCUGGCUAGCUUUGUCGUGGCUCCUCCCUUCCCGGCCUUUAUUUCAAUUCUCAGAUCAUGGACAUGUUGUUCCUUGGUCCUCGCGACACCCCCAUUGGAGGCAUCUAUAACCUAGCUAGCUAAGCAUAUCGUAAAGCUAGCUCCCUCGUUUUGAAAGAAGGGGACAACUCUUAGACUACUAUCAUUGCCGAUCGGUGUGCUGAAUUUGUUCCCUCUGCUGCAGUGCGUAUACGUACGUGCGCGAUUCCUUUGCGAAAUUCUCGUUGCCCACUUCGUUUUGAAAUAUCUCUAUUCAUCCUUGCUUUUGGAGAGGAGAGUACGUCUCAAUUUGGUUCUGUGCUGCUGGAAAGGAGUAGGUAACUACAAGCCUGUUCGUUUAAGCUGAGUAUUUUUCUCUCAUAAUAAAUUAGAGAAUAUAGCUCUUUUGCCAAGAAAAAAAAACAUGUGCUUUCUCUCUCUCUCUCUCUUGUUCUUUUUCCUUUCUUUGUGUGUGUUUUGGCUAGCAUAUUGCUACCCAAGUUGUACUUCCUUCGUGUUAAUGAGAAAAGGUCCGUGGGGGCUUUUGCCUCGUUAUUUUCGGUAAUAUAAAAAUCUUCCAUGUAAACUAUUUACACAAUAGACAAAGGGUAGUCUUGGUUGGAGUUCGACCAGCAAAAAAUAUUGAAGAUAAGAAAGCAAGUUUCUUUUUCUUUAAUUCGUAUGGACUAUGUUUCUAGAGAUGGUAUUAUUUUCUAGGAAUUGAAAAGUGGUUGUAGACAAAAUAAAAUAAUCUUGAGAAGUCACAGGUCAUGCGAUUUUUUGCGUGAAUGUGGGUGCGGUUCCUAGGAUUCAAACUCAAGAUUACCUCACGCAAACUUCCUCUACCACUAUGCCAAGUCUUAUACUGAAUAUUUGGCCCCUAAGCAAUUUUAAAUGAAAAAGUUUCAGCUACAAAAUUUAGAUGUUGUCAAGCAUUAAAAUUUUGGUGUAGGGUGUAGCUUCACCUGAAGUUGAUUGAAAAGUUCAAAAACUCAAUUUCAAUAAUUUAAUAUUUAAAAUAUAUUUUUGGGAGUCUAAAUGAUUUUAAAUGAAAAGAAGCAAUAAGUUGUGGACAUCUUCGAGCAUUGCAACUUUGAUAUAAAGUUCAUCUCCCUUAAUUUCAUUUGAAAAAGUUAUUUUUUGGAUUCACCUAUUUUUAGAGGCAUAUCCAAUUACCAACUGCGGUUGAAAAUGAAUUUCUAGAGGUGAUUGGUAUUUUCUACCAACUAGAAAUAGCAUUUGUAGAGGCAGCUUGUGUUAUCAAGUAUACCUGAAAAUGGAGGGCAUUUCUAGGGGCAGGAAACACCAACUACCAGUGGCGGAGCAUGGAAGCAACCAAAGCAGGGGCUGCGCUUUAGCAAGCAGCACUUCAACUAUGCUGAAGGACAACUUCUAUACGUCAAGUGCAACAGUUAACAAGCACACAUGGAGAUUUGCAAUGGCCAAUACAUGGAGGAAGGAACCCCAGCACCUAGGAAAAGGUGAGGGCUUUCCUUUGGAACGAAGGGAAAGCCAACUUGGCUUCCUUCUAGGCCUCUCCGUCGCCCCCACCAGGCCCCCUCCCGUUCGCCUUUGGCAGGCUUGCCGGAGCGCAUCGGGAGCGGGGCCUUCAGCCUUCGAUAGCUAGUUGUAGUAGUUUUAGUUUAUGUAGCUUCUUCAAAGUGCCUUCAUGGCGUUUGCUCCUUGUGGAGUUCGCUGUCCGGGAAGUGUCGCCGCCGCCGUUGUUGCCGUGUUCAUCGGCUUCGUCGUUGUCGUCGAAAUCGCAACCCAGGUAAGCGUGAAUAAAAUAAAGUCGCUCCUUCAUCCCCUCGCCUUUCCCCACUGUGGCUCAGAUCCUCCGUCUUCUACCUCCGCUCCGCCAGAUCUGAGCUCCGACUCGCUUCCUCCGCAGCUCGCCUCCGCCCUCACCCCUAUUUUGCAACCAUAAAUCCGGUCGAUCCAGACUCCAUGCCAGCUCUUCAACCGAUGUUGGCCCGACAUCUUCGUCAUCCCCUGAGAUUCGACAUCGAGCUUCAUCCUCAACCUUCGGCGACGACAACAAUAUUACUCUUCGGUCGUCUGGAAAGUUCUUCUUCAUUGGCUCCGUCGGCCCAACUUCAACCGUCGCAACGCGCGGUCUCUCCAUCUGGGUGUAUGCGCCAUCGGUUGUAGAAUAACACUUGUGUAUAUAUAUAUAUAUAUGUUGUUGUCAAAAACAAUACAUGGAGGAAGGGGUGGCGAGCGCCGAGCUUCACCUCCACUACCCUCCACCAGUUCCAACUGCCUCUAAAAAUCGGUUUUGAGAAGUCGUAACCUCUCGGACCAUGACUAGAAGAAAUAAAGGCAGCUCUAGCUUAUAUAGUAUUGAUUGCAAGAUAUGGUGCAAAAUUUGAUACCAUAGAAAAUAUGAACAAAUAGAAAAAGUCUAGUCUACAUUUAGAUAAAAAAAAUUAUAUUUGUGCAAAAUUUUCUGCAUGGAAUUUUCUUCUACUAAUUGUCUAGCUAACUACCCCCCCUGAUAAGCCUCUUGCGCCUGGUUAACUAAAGCACAUAGCAUUUCCCACUAGUUUUGAGCAAUUCGAUCAGAUCGUGAGUCGUGACGCAAACGUAUUGAACAAUACGAAUAUCUGCGUACGAAAAAGGAGCCACUCCAACGAUGAUCAUUCGUGUGGAACUGCAAAGUUUGUCCUCCAUCAGCUCUCCAUGUAUGUGUAAAGAAUAACUCCAUCCUGGAUUGGUCUUUAACUCUUUAUGCUUUGUGCAGAGGUUUAUAUUGGACUUGUAUUGUCUUCAGCUUUUUAUUGAGCUGCUAUGCAUAGUAGAUUGGUAUAGGUACUCGUACCUUUUUUUCUUGUGUGGACAGAAUAUCCUUGGUAGAUUCUCUUCUGCGGGCUUAUAUGGUUUAAAUCGAUCGUAAAGAAAAAAAAAAUCGGAGCACUGACAGAUAUGUGUAUAAUCAUUAGUAGCACACCACCGAUUGAACGGCUCUUGUGUUGGGAGAACAUAUGCGCCGUGAACAAAAUAAAAGGCAUAGGGUCUGUCAUGGUUUCAUGUUUUCGCCAGGCACUAAACUUAGCAAUCAUAUGUGUAGAUGGCCGUCGUAGUGCAAUGACGCAGCCAAUGCUACCAAUAUAUAUAUAUAUAUAUAUAUAUAUAUACAGGAGUUGGAUGAAAAUGCUUUGGUCUGCCAAAUGCUACCAAGAGUAUAUGUAUACAAAAUGGCAGUAAUGCAUAUUGUAUAUAGGCUGGGCAAAAUUUGUAUGGAGCAACAAGGCACGCCACAGCGUGUCAAAUUUUUCGCCUGGGGUUAGUGUCCCUGCAGGGUCGGGUACAAUGCAAAAUCAGACUUGCAGAGGAAAGGUGUAGUGAAGAACUCGAUUUGUGAUGCAUGUGUGCAACGCGCGGCAGAUGAAACCCCGGCAUAUAUACUGUUUGGCUGUCCACAUGCUGCACAAUAUUCUGGAACGCACUGCAGAUUCCAACAAACCAACAGUGGCAAGUUCAGGCUCUCAAAUUAAGAAAUUCAGUCGCCGAAUCAUAUAAGUACCAAACAAGCAUUCCGGCACCUUCAUGUUAUUGUCUUAGGGAUGAAGAAAGUAAUAAUUAGCAAACUGCAAAUGCAGAAUUAAUGUUAUAAACCUCUGGCCAUUUGAGAGCCAAAAUCAAGUAAUAUAUCAGGUGGGGUAUUCUCUCCCCUCCCGUCGAAUUUUUCUCUGUUUAUCAGGAGGGUUGUUUCUGCAAAUCUUUGAUUAGCAGUGCUCUACGAAAGCGUGCGGAUGGUUAAGAGGUGGAGACGUAGAGGAAGUAUUGAGGUACAUUUUAGUGGAGGACAAAAUCAUCAUUGAUACCUAAACCGGCCGUCAGCCCAUGCAUCACUUGUAGGUAGUCUGGAUGCUGGGCAUGCAGUGGCAGAGGAACAGAACCGUCUGUACGCAAUAUCUCUUCGCGCUGCCCAUUCAAGUGGCAGGAACAGAACCAUGCAAGCAUCCGAUUGGCGCGCAAUCGGGAGGCUGCGGCCGGCCAGGCUCGAAAGCUUUGCGAAAAGGCUGUGGCGCGCAGGGGCAUAUCAACACAUGCAGACAUCGUGCGGUGCAGACUGCAGCAGGACGGUGCAGAAGCGAGCAGCGGUGUGGCCCGCGCGCGAUGCAGGCAGGCAGGCAGAGCACGUACGUCGUCCAUCCGUCCGCCAUGCACAGCGCCAGCACGGCGGGCGUACGAGGGCCGGGCGGCAGUGCGGCCUAAUUCCACGUGAUCGAUCGAGGAGGAUCUCGAUCAGAUCGCGGCGGAACGGAACCCGUCGGCCGGCCGGCCGGCCAGGGACGACAGGCCACGCGCGCUACCUGACCGGCCGGUGGUGUACGUGCUGCCACUACCACCACUAUAAGCUAGCUAGUGCAGGCAGGCAGGCAGGCAGGCGGAGGUCACUAGCUAUAGAGGGCCCCAGAGCGCGCGACGAGCAAGUGAAACGGCCGAAGCCGAACCCGAGCGAGAGAGAGAUGGAUGGAGCUAGGAGCACGUGGCACAUUCUCGAUCUCUGUUUCAAUUCGUCCGUCCCUCCCUCUGCCAUGCCUGCACCGGCCGGCCAUGAGAAUGAGAGCGCACUCUCUUGCACAGCACCAUGCCGCCCGAUGAUUGCCAUCGUUGCCGCGUCGUCACUAGUACGUGUCUGUGCUCGCCUUCCACUAGCUUUAGGCCUUUUAUUUCGGCGGCCGGCCGGACGGACGGGCGUUUCUGGAUCGGCGGCGGAUAAUGCAGGUAGGUUCCAGCGCCUUCCCGGGCUAGGAAGGCAGGAACAGUAGUUUGUUUGAGUUUACCAGUAGAAUCUAUUAGCUAUUUAAUAGUAUAUUUUUCUUUUACAAUAAAUUAGCGAAUAGUAUUUUCUGUUAUGGUUUACCAAGCAAACUAUUCUUGAGAGCUUUCAUUCCCUAGGCACAAACACAAAGAUCAAUAUUCUAGAAAGCCUAACAAUACAUAAUGUAACACCCUAAAUUUUGUUCUUUUAGAAAUAGAUGAAAAAUAAUUUAAUUUUGAAUUUUUGUGCUCAUGAAACAUAAGAAAAGUAAUAUUUUUUAUUAAAAUAAAAAUUUAAUAUAAGGCUUAGCAACUAUUGUGUGUAAAUCAUGCUGGUGCAUUUUAUUUUUGAGAUGAGUGAUUUUGACCAAAGUUUGAAAUAUUUCAAACAGAUUUCUAAAUGGAUUUGAAAUAGGCUUUGGAAUAAAAGAAAUGGGAAAAAGAAAAUAAAAAGACAAAACCCCUCCUCUCCCUCUUCCUGGCCUGAUGGCCAAAUCCCCCGCGCAACGGCCCACAGUACCCCGCAGCCCAGCUCCCUCUUCCGGCCCAAGCCGCGGGCUGAAGCCCAGCAGCGCAGGCGCGCCCUCCCCUCUCCCUCUUCUCGCUGACACCUAGGCCCCACUUCUUUGUUUCACCGAUAGGUGGGUCCGCCUGGUCAUCCCCUCCACCGAGCGUCACCAGGCCGGACUCGACCGGGAGUUUCCCCGCCGAAUCGAUCCCCGGGGAAACCGCGAAUUCGUUUCCUUUUCCGCCAACCGAGGUCCUAUAAAGUGUUUUCUACAACUCCGCAGUUUCCUUUUGCUCCUAAACCGCGAAUCAAAGCUCUAGCCGCCACGAACGCGGAAGCUCGGAUCUCGCCGAAAACCGCGCGCGUCCUCCACCGCGGCGAGCACUCCCUCCUUCCCAUCAGCGCGAACCGAGCAUCUUGGUGAGUCCGCGGUGAGCUUCUCCUUCACCUGGCGUUUUCCUUUUGUUAAACGGUGCACCGGAACACUUUCCCAACCAACUCCGGCGAGGAGCAAGGCCCUCCGGCCAUGGCGCCACCGCCGGAGGCUCUGUAGCCGGCCAGCACCCCCUCUUCCCUCCUGGGAUUGAUCCAGAGCCGUUCGAUCUAAAACCAACGCGCCAGAUUAGAACUUACCCCUUCGGGGUGAUUUUAUUAAAGAGCCCCUGACGUUUUUAUAUAUGAAACCCGCGGUCCAAAACGUACAGCAUCAAAUACGCUUUCUGAGUUGGAAGACGUAAAGUCUGCCGGCUUGUUUCCAAAUUACGUUUUCAGUAUUUACAGUUUUGCCACCAGAUUUAAAUUGCUUAUAACAUGCUCAUCUUAAAUCCGUUUUGGUCCAUUCAAAUUGCGUUAGGUUCGUAAUUAUGAGCUUUACAUGUUAGUAACAUUAUUUUCUCAGUUUGAAAUCUUUUAAUUUCGUGAUCCUACUUAAUUAAUUACCUUCCUAUAUAAAAUCUUAGAAAAUUCAUAACUUCACCGUUUUAAUUCCGAUUUUCGUGAUCUUUACGUCUAUGAAAUCGUAGCGAUGCGCAGAAUCAUUUUAUAAACUUUUCAUACUGUUUUUAUAUGAUUGGUGUACUGUUCUAAUAGUAGACUUGUUUGCUUCGUGUAUGUUUUCUCCGAUUGUUUGUGUGAUCGAUGAUCGAGUUUAGACGGGGAGCCGUUUCGGUGAUCAAGAUCAAAGCUUUGGCAACAAGUGAGACCAGCAGAACCAAAAGGAUUAGCAAGAUCAUUGGAUCGAGGCAAGUAUAGCAUUUGGAUUAUAUUUCUGUGACCCGUGAUCCUGUGACUAGAUUAAUGUUAAGUAAUAAAUGAUAAAAAUGACUUUUUAGCCACUUGAUGAUUUAUCUGUAAGUGAUAACCGGGACAACAGUGCAACCAUGAGGGCUAUAAUGGCUCUGGCUUUAGUUAAGUAUGAGUAACUUUUCUAGCUCGUUAGCGGUUACCCGUUGUGGCGCAGUUGGGGAAUAGCAGACCGUGGAUUCCUGCGGGUGAAUCACACGGACUGACUAAUGAAACCAAGCGGCCCUAACUUGUUAGACGAACCUUUGAAAGACUUCAUAGUGAUCCCUGCCGACCUCCCUAGGAAGGGGGUUAAGAGACUAGCUACCUCGGGCGAAAGGGUAAAUCAUGACUCAUGGGUAAAGAUGUGCAACCUCUGCAGAGGGUUAAAAACUAGUAUACUAGCCGAGCUCACGGUCAGGAGCGGCCUUGGGGAUUCUUGCGGCGGUGAUGAUGAUUCUUGUGUGUUAAAUAUGCCCAUUAUUUAUUAUUUAAUGCUCUACAUUAUUUAUGUCACAUUGAUCAUGAGAUUGUGGGAGCUAUAUAAUCUAGUUGCUAUACUUGUGGAGUUCGACAUGGACUCACUCUUGCUAUUUCCCCCAAACCUCAGGAGAAGUUUAGGCUUGUGAUCAACCAGUCAGUUGGAUCCUGUAGAGUGGAGUUAAUACCCGAAGUUGGAGUUAUCUAUCCGCUGUUUGCUUUUAAAGGUUAUCUCUUUUAUACUAAGUACGUUAUAUAUUUAUGCAUUGUCUUUUGAUAUUACCCCUUAUUUGUAGCUAUAUAUGAGAAUUGACUCCUAAAACUCAUAUAUAGUGUAUAUCUGGUUUUGUCCUUAAAAUCGGGUAUUACAAAGUGGUAUCAAAGCAAUGCUGACUGUAGGACGCAAGCCUAGUUAGAACUGGACGUUUUGGCAUGCUUCUAUCUUUGCUUACUUCUUGCUUUUCGCCUUGACCUUGAUAGUUGCUAAAAGUUAUGCUUACCUCUUGCCUAGUUCUUUUAUAAAAUCUUGUCUCUAUUCUAAAUCCUCUCUCUUUGUCUCUUUAGAUGGAUCAUAACGAGGAGACCUUUGACAAGAAGGAACGAAAGCACCCAGAUUUUCCAACCGUAAAAGCAUUCGACAUGGAGAAGCUUCUAGCCAUGCAAACACAAGUAGUGGAAGGAAUAACUCAGAAUAAGAACUCUCAACAACGUAUCUCAGGACCCGUGAGGAGACAAGUAGCAGAAGCUUGGAAAAAUAUGAGAAAUCAUGGAAGCGUUGGGAGUAAUACAUCAGGAUAUCAGGAUCAAUGCCACUGUUGUGAGCAUUAUGGUCUUCCUUGUCUUCGGAAUAUGUCAUCUAAGAAGGAAGUUAAGACAAAACCAACCUGUGUGACUAAUGAGGAUAAGAAGAGGAAGGCAAAAGCACUAGAGCCGAGAUUGGGAAGUGAUCAACACCCAAAUCCCAAGAUGUCACAUGUAGCUUCAAAUUCUCGUCAGGAAAACUCAAACCUUGGAGAUGAACAGAUUCCCCAAGCUAAUCCCACUGCUCAUGAGGUAUGCAUAGAUGGGUGGACAAUUACUUAUAGAGAGUUUCAACCUCGGAGGAUCAAGCAAUGUAGAAAGAAAUCUAACCAGACAAAGAUAAACCAUCAGAGUAUGCAAGUUGAUAACACACCGAACAACACUUCAGUGGAAAAUAACAUCACAGAGGAACCAGCUAAGAGAAGGUGUUAUCACUGUCAACAAGAAGGACAUUAUAUAAGCUCUUGUCCACAAAAGAAGCAACAGAUGCAUCGUGAAGAUAACCACACUAAGUCUAAGAUAUAGGUGUCCGUGUCCCCUGGUGUAAUAAAAACGCUAGUAGCGAAAGUUGAGUUUGUAUGACUUGUGAACCUUUAAUGCUUAAUUGCUUGUUAUUAUGUUUAUGUUUGAUUUGGAUCUUUGUAAUGAGUGUAAUGAUUUUGUGAAGUUCUUCACAAUUUCAUUUAGUUUAUAGCACUAAGGCAUACGGAAUAAUGGCAUAAGUAGUUGGGUUUGGUUAUAUCCUGUUUCUGUCUUUUGCUGAUUUCUGGAGCAGUCUGCAAUAAUCAUAGUGUAUAUCAAGAUCUGAUCGUGCAAAUUUUACUAAACUUUUCUGGAAACAACUAGACUCCAAGAUCUUUCUCUGACCACAAGAAUCACCCUCAUAGCUGUUAUGGUUUGGAAGUUACAAAAAUCACAACAGGAUACAACUGUGCUGUCAAGAACCUGGACCAGUUUCGGUUGCUUACUGUUUUAGACAUAUAUAACUAUAGAAUUUGGAAGAGUAUUCUAUAGAAAAGUUGUAGACAAUUUUCUAUUCUUUCCAACGGUAUAAGCUGGAACUUAUUUGGAUAAGUAGAACCUGAGAUAUGAUAUUUACAAUUGGAUAUUUCUGUUCUGUUUCAAAAUCUGGAUAGAUCUGGCAAUUCCUAUUCUCAGCCAAGCUUAAAGACAGAAUCUGGGGAAAAGUUGUAUACGAAAGUUGUAAAGGAUUUCAUAAGCUUUUCAACAAUGUAAGGAUCAUCUCCAUAUGAGUUAAGUAGCUCGAGGUAUAAUUUCUGGAAUUUACUGCAUCCUUGCUGAGAUAUUAUCAGGAAGGAUAUUAUGUUUGGCUGUUUUACCUGAGCCUAAAUACAGAACCUAAGGACGUCUUCUACAGGAAAGUUGUAGGGAAUUUCAUAAUCUUUCUAACGGUAUAAGCUACAACUCUAUUGGAUUAACAGAAUGGGAGUUAUACCUGUUUUUCUAUGCUGGUGUUUUUCAUAUCGCGGGAAAAUUUCAGGAUACAUGUUUGUUCUCUUGCACAGAAGCUCUUUGGGAUGUCAUAAGUUCUCAAUGUUAGUUAACUUGUCUGGAAAAUAUGCAAGCUACCUUUCUUUUGUCCCCUAGUUGACUUUUCUUAAGGGGGUAGCCUAGUUAAAGAAGUUACAACGAGAAGGAUUGACUAGUGUUGGAUCAUACGGGAGUAUCACAAACGCUGGGUAAAUUUGUUUUGGUUCAAGAAUAUCAUCUCAUUUAGAGAAUAUCAAUGGAGGUAUAUGUCAUUGCUGAUACUCAUGGAUUAAGAGUUGUGUAUGAGGAUCAGAUGACACCAAAGGCUACAAAGUUACAUAUACAAUAUGAGAGUGAAACAACUUAAUUGCGAUAAAGGUACCAAUAGAUGGAACUUAGUGUUGAAACCAACCCUGGAUUAAGAGACUUGGUACAAGGAAUUUAAAAGACUAUGAUGUGUAGCGUCUAAAAAGGACAGGAGAACUAGUCCCUAGUGUCCCCCAAUCAACCUCGUCUUAAGGGGGGUAGUACCUUGAUAUCACGAGUGAUGCAUUUUAAGACUAGCUUGGAGUGAUAAUUGUCUUCUAAGAUAUUCUAUGGUUAUGAUCAUCUAUCCUUGCCGUGUUACUGACGUUGGUCACUUGAUGACAGGGAGUGUAGUGUUCCAUGAAUCCGGAGCACAAUAUGACACCUCUCAUGGAUAGGUGGGAAGAAUAUGAUCAUCUUGAUUUUGAAGAAAGAUGCUAUGAGUAUGACAAAGCUGAGUGUUAUCAAAAUAACAAUAUGGAAGAGCAAGUUGACAACGAAUCAAAUCAAAAUCCACAACGACGGAAGCGUAAAAGGAAAGCUCGUAAGAAGCCUGCUCUCGGAAAUAAAGUACAGCGAAAUUAUAUCAAUGGAAGACUGAACAAUGUGGAUAUGCAUAACAUUCAAGGAGCCACCAAAGUGGUGGGAGGCUAUAUUCAAGUGGACUCAGUACUAGUUUUUGCUCUGUUUGACCGAAGUGCUUCACAUUCUUUUAUUUCCGCUGACUUGGUAAAGACAAUCGAACGGAUGAAGUGUCCGACGAGAAAGCCUUUGUUAGUUCAAACCCCAAUGGGAGAAAUACAGGCAGAUCAGGUUUGCUCCAAUAUCAAUCUUGUCAUAAAGAAGGAAAACUUCACUGUAAACCUCAUUGUGCUAGAGUCACUCAAUAUUCCUUUGGUUCUUGGCAAUGGAUGGUUAUGUGCACACAGGGCAGUGAUCUAUGCUACCCAGUGGAAAAUAUUCUUAACUGCACCAUCAGGGAAAAGAAUUGAGUAUCAAGGUGGUCCACUCCUACCUGAGGAGGCAUAUCCAUGCCGAGAUAUCAUGUCUUUGAGUUGUAUAAGUUGAAAAGUGGUAGUCAAGAUGGACAGAGGGCAAUUACGAAUAAUAGACAUCAUAUGGAAGUUUUGUUUACAAGUUGUAAUCCCGAAACAUAAGUGCUUGCAUUUGGAAUACAAGUUGUCAAGUUGAAAUAAUGAUCAAUAUCUUGUUCCUGUUUCUCUUUUGGAAUCUGUGCCUCUUCCGAAUCUCGAGGACGAGAUUCAUUUCAAGGGGGGGUAGAUUUGUAACACCCUAAAUUUUGUUCUUUUAGAAAUAGAUGAAAAAUAAUUUAAUUUUGAAUUUUUGUGCUCAUGAAACAUAAGAAAAGUAAUAUUUUUCAUUAAAAUAAAAAUUUAAUAUAAGGCUUAGCAACUAUUGUGUGUAAAUCAUGCUGGUGCAUUUUAUUUUUGAGAUGAGUGAUUUUGACCAAAGUUUGAAAUAUUUCAAACAGAUUUCUAAAUGGAUUUGAAAUAGGCUUUGGAAUAAAAGAAAUGGGAAAAAGAAAAUAAAAAGACAAAACCCCUCCUCUCCCUCUUCCUGGCCUGAUGGCCAAAUCCCCCGCGCAACGGCCCACAGUACCCCGCAGCCCAGCUCCCUCUUCCGGCCCAAGCCGCGGGCUGAAGCCCAGCAGCGCAGGCGCGCCCUCCCCUCUCCCUCUUCUCGCUGACACCUAGGCCCCACUUCUUUGUUUCACCGAUAGGUGGGUCCGCCUGGUCAUCCCCUCCACCGAGCGUCACCAGGCCGGACUCGACCGGGAGUUUCCCCGCCGAAUCGAUCCCCGGGGAAACCGCGAAUUCGUUUCCUUUUCCGCCAACCGAGGUCCUAUAAAGUGUUUUCUACAACUCCGCAGUUUCCUUUUGCUCCUAAACCGCGAAUCAAAGCUCUAGCCGCCACGAACGCGGAAGCUCGGAUCUCGCCGAAAACCGCGCGCGUCCUCCACCGCGGCGAGCACUCCCUCCUUCCCAUCAGCGCGAACCGAGCAUCUUGGUGAGUCCGCGGUGAGCUUCUCCUUCACCUGGCGUUUUCCUUUUGUUAAACGGUGCACCGGAACACUUUCCCAACCAACUCCGGCGAGGAGCAAGGCCCUCCGGCCAUGGCGCCACCGCCGGAGGCUCUGUAGCCGGCCAGCACCCCCUCUUCCCUCCUGGGAUUGAUCCAGAGCCGUUCGAUCUAAAACCAACGCGCCAGAUUAGAACUUACCCCUUCGGGGUGAUUUUAUUAAAGAGCCCCUGACGUUUUUAUAUAUGAAACCCGCGGUCCAAAACGUACAGCAUCAAAUACGCUUUCUGAGUUGGAAGACGUAAAGUCUGCCGGCUUGUUUCCAAAUUACGUUUUCAGUAUUUACAGUUUUGCCACCAGAUUUAAAUUGCUUAUAACAUGCUCAUCUUAAAUCCGUUUUGGUCCAUUCAAAUUGCGUUAGGUUCGUAAUUAUGAGCUUUACAUGUUAGUAACAUUAUUUUCUCAGUUUGAAAUCUUUUAAUUUCGUGAUCCUACUUAAUUAAUUACCUUCCUAUAUAAAAUCUUAGAAAAUUCAUAACUUCACCGUUUUAAUUCCGAUUUUCGUGAUCUUUACGUCUAUGAAAUCGUAGCGAUGCGUAGAAUCAUUUUAUAAACUUUUCAUACUGUUUUUAUAUGAUUGGUGUACUGUUCUAAUAGUAGACUUGUUUGCUUCGUGUAUGUUUUCUCCGAUUGUUUGUGUGAUCGAUGAUCGAGUUUAGACGGGGAGCCGUUUCGGUGAUCAAGAUCAAAGCUUUGGCAACAAGUAAGACCAGCAGAACCAAAAGGAUUAGCAAGAUCAUUGGAUCGAGGCAAGUAUAGCAUUUGGAUUAUAUUUCUGUGACCCGUGAUCCUGUGACUAGAUUAAUGUUAAGUAAUAAAUGAUAAAAAUGACUUUUUAGCCACUUGAUGAUUUAUCUGUAAGUGAUAACCGGGACAACAGUGCAACCAUGAGGGCUAUAAUGGCUCUGGCUUUAGUUAAGUAUGAGUAACUUUUCUAGCUCGUUAGCGGUUACCCGUUGUGGCGCAGUUGGGGAAUAGCAGACCGUGGAUUCCUGCGGGUGAAUCACACGGACUGACUAAUGAAACCAAGCGGCCCUAACUUGUUAGACGAACCUUUGAAAGACUUCAUAGUGAUCCCUGCCGACCUCCCUAGGAAGGGGGUUAAGAGACUAGCUACCUCGGGCGAAAGGGUAAAUCAUGACUCAUGGGUAAAGAUGUGCAACCUCUGCAGAGGGUUAAAAACUAGUAUACUAGCCGAGCUCACGGUCAGGAGCGGCCUUGGGGAUUCUUGCGGCGGUGAUGAUGAUUCUUGUGUGUUAAAUAUGCCCAUUAUUUAUUAUUUAAUGCUCUACAUUAUUUAUGUCACAUUGAUCAUGAGAUUGUGGGAGCUAUAUAAUCUAGUUGCUAUACUUGUGGAGUUCGACAUGGACUCACUCUUGCUAUUUCCCCCAAACCUCAGGAGAAGUUUAGGCUUGUGAUCAACCAGUCAGUUGGAUCCUGUAGAGUGGAGUUAAUACCCGAAGUUGGAGUUAUCUAUCCGCUGUUUGCUUUUAAAGGUUAUCUCUUUUAUACUAAGUACGUUAUAUAUUUAUGCAUUGUCUUUUGAUAUUACCCCUUAUUUGUAGCUAUAUAUGAGAAUUGACUCCUAAAACUCAUAUAUAGUGUAUAUCUGGUUUUGUCCUUAAAAUCGGGUAUUACACAUAAAUUGACUAAAACAUCCUUUACUCCUCGUUGAUAAUUACCAUCAGGCUAGCGUACCCAAUUUUUUACAAUUUAGCCCUUUUUUUGAAAAAAGUUCACAAUUGGACCCUUGGAAAACUUAAAUGCAGAAAUGGACCCAGGGGGUCGACGCCAUGCAUCAUGGCGUCGAGGUAUCACGUCUCGACGCUAUGGAUCACGGCGCCGAGGUCCUGGGUGCGGCCAACGUAGCUUCUGACGUGGAUCUGACGUGGCAGGGAGCUCGGCGCCACUGAUCACGGCGCCGAGCUCCCUACUACAUACCAGCCGACGGACUUCGCUACCCGUGGACGCAUUGUUCAGAUUUUCAUCUCCCCUCUCGGCUCUUUCUCUCCAAAAACCGAGCACGAAUUUGGAUUCAAUAUUGUGACCAUCAAAAGUUUGAUUUUUUCCAUAGAUCUUGAAGAGCGAGGUAUACUCUUUCACAUAUUAGUUUUUGACACAUUGAUUUGACCUAUAUUACACGUAUGUUGUAAACUUAGAUAUAUACCAUAUCUAGAUUUUUGAAUGGAUGAUUAAUAUUUAUAUUAUGCAAUCGUAGAAUGCCACGUCGUGGAAAAAGUAGCAAACCAAGGUAACCUUUCGACAUGUUUCGAUAAAUUUCAUUCAUUAUUAUUUAUCAUUUGGUAAAUUCUAGUUUUCGGUUGAAUCGUUAAUUGCUAUGAUUUCUUAGAAUUGAAUUCUUUGAACUGUAGCUAUGGCCGGACGACCGGGAGUCUGUACAUCCACAAGCCGCUUCCUAGCGGUGUUCCAGUACCUAUGUGCUUUUGUGGUGAUCCUUGCAAGGUAGAAAUUUCGGAAGACGAGGAAACCUAUCGGCAGAGGUAUUGGAUGUGUUCCAAUUUUGCCUGGGAGCCUACGCCAAAACAACGCCGCAGUAACUUUAUUGUAAGUUAAUUUGUCUAUUGUGCACUUAGUAUUUUGUGUCCUAUGAAGCAUGAUUUAAUUUUUUGAACAAAUAUAUUUGUUGCAGACCCCUCCACCAUUGUGUGAUUUUGAGCAGUGGAUCGACACUGAUAUUAAGGAGUCCGACAAGCGGCUUCUACAAGGCCUAAAGGAGUGGGAUGCAGAGCGUGCAGAGAUAUUAGAGAAGAGACGUAGAGAGGAGGCUUAAAAGAGGGACCACAAGGAAGAGGAGGAAAGAAGACGUGUUGCUGCGGCUUGGGAGGAGAGAGAAAAGAAGCUUGAGCGUGUGCGCCGAGCGAAGGCAGCGAUGGAUGAGAAUCCAGAUUCCGAGAGGAAGGGAAAGUGGCCUCGUUGCACUCAGUAGUUACAUUACAUUCUUGUUCUUUGUUUGGUUCAUGGACAAUAUUGUUUUGUGUUGGACUUUUCAAUUUUUUGUCAUGUAAUGCACUUUAGCAAUUUUAAUUUGGUUUCAUUAUUAGUAGACAAUAUUUUUAUUUGAGUAUUGCAUGGGCAAUGAAAUGAGGAUAAUUAGUUGAAAUGGAAGUUAACGAACUAGUAUAUUGCAUAACUAGUAGCACACAUCACAUUGAAUGGCAUGUCAAAACAUGCACCAAACAAGGGUGCAGAGGUCCGAGACUAAACCUAACAUGCCUUAGGUAAUUCAAGCAAUUAACAAGCACAGGAAAUGGCAUGUGAGAACAUAUACCACACAAAGGUACAUAGUUCUUUCGACUAACCCUAACAUGCCUUAGGUGAUUAAACCAAACAACAAAUAUAUGCCUUAGUUCAGUUCGACCUAGUAGUGUGGCCACAUAGCAAACUGUGUUGCCCCUUCUCCAUAGUAUCCUCCCGUUGUUGGUGGUGGUGGUGGGGGUGGUGGUGAAGGAGGGCCCUUGUUCUUGUGAUUUGGGCAUGUGCAGUAUGGAUCAUUGCAUAUUGUGUUUUGGGAGCCAGUAGCAUUGCUGUUGUCGUCCUCUUCGUCGUCCUUGUAACCACUGCUAACUUCCGUUUCUAAAUCAAAGAUACGGUCCUGCAGGUAGUACAUGUACUCUGCAUGGGAAUGAAUAGGUCUAGGAUCGACCCAUCUGGUGAAGCCACAGUUCUCUUUUUACAAAGAUGACUGCAAUAAGUAUGUAGCUUUAGCACAAAAGAGUAUCUUAUUGAAGGUUGAAUUACUAAUAUGACUUACCCAUGCUCGUGGACAUUUGAAGAAACGACGCCCUCCAUCUAUCCCCUCUGUGUACAUCUGCACCAAACAAUUCUCACCAUGCAUGCAUUUUGGCCACUCUUCUUUUCGGUCAUCAUAUGCCCUCAGUGGUGCUUCUUUAGUAAAAUCAUGUUUGCUCUCAAGAGGGAACCUAUCAUAAAUUGCUUCCUCAAAGUCUUUAGGACCAAGAGGACCCUCCCAAACAAAGGGAUUACCCUUCAUCGCCGCCUUUCCCUUUCCCUUCCCUUCCCUCUAGACGACCCUCCAGACAUUUUUACUUCAACUGAACAAUCUCAAGUGAGUAGCAACGCUCUAACCACUGCGUAUAUAUAUAGGAACCCAAUAGUUGGUAGCUGUUGUAGUAUAAAAUAAAUGGACCUGAAAAGCCUAGAUUCGAUUACUGAAAAGGCUAGUUGAAAACUGAAAAGUCUAUUUGGAUUGUCAUCUGAAAAGUCUAGAUUCGAUUACUGAAAAGGCUAGUUGAAAACUGAAAAGUCUAUUUGGAUUGUCAUCUGAAAAGGCUAGAUUUGUUCACUGUUUCGGAUGUGAUGAUUCAAUGAAAAGCCAUAUUGGUUCACUGUUUCUGAAAAGCCUACACUGCGAAAACCAAUAGGAAUGGACCACAGAAUAUGUGCACUACAUUGAAUAAUUCAUGGAAAAAAUUUGCAAGAGUUUCCCCUGUUUUUGGUACAUCCACAGUUAUAAAUAGACAUCACAGUACAAUACAAACAUUGAUUCAUCCAAAUAUCACAACACAAGCACAUACGCCAUCAGGAAUGAUAGUUCAGAUAGUCCACAGAGACCAUACAGUCUCAUAUAGUACAAAUAGUCCACAAAGUUCACAGUGUCGAUACAUGCAAAAUAACAGAAGUUAUGACAUCAAUUCUAAGCUGCUACCAUGGUGUUAGCACAGAAGUCAUCCUCACUGCCUCCUAGUCUUACCCUUACCCUUGUGGCCAAGAGCAUCGGUGCCUGGAGUGUACCUACAAGGCGAACGACGUCGCCUUCUUGCAACCUGCGUAGGCUGAGUAGAAGGAGCAUCAGGAAGCUGAGAUAACCCAAGCUCGUCAUAGUCACGCUCCUCGGCCACCCCCUCUUCGUCCUCAUCAUCAUCGCUUUGAAAAGUGUCCAUAGUUGGCCGAGACGAGCUCUGUCCUCCAGAUCCUAUAAACAUUGUUCAAAUUAUGUGUGCACAUAAUUCAUUAUCUCAUACCAUGAAAAUUGCUCAGUUCAAAUAAACAACAAAUUUAAUGAAAUUAUACCUCCCAAAGAAGAUGUAUCAUGCACAACAGGUGUGUUGCAUUGUCGUUCCUGUGGCACAUGCACAUUCAUCGCAGCACUAGUACCGCAACCGCACCGAGCUGCAGCACGCCUAAGCCUACGUGCUAGUCUCUAUUAUGCAAAGAUUAAAAUUCAUAUUGUUAGAUAUAUGAUAAAUGAGGGUCGUAAUACUUGUUCUUAGAUAAAUUUGAUGUCAAAUACUUACUCCAAGAAAGUUGUUUAGUGUGUGCUCGUCCACACCUGUUCUUGGAAACCGUUCGAUGUCAAGUACAGAUUGCUUGAUUGCGUUGCCCUAUAAGAUAAGACAUGUAAUAGUUUAUAUAGGUGCAAUUUAUAAAGUGGAAAGGACAACAAUCGUACAAUUGUAUAGUGGAAAGGACAUGUACCACUCGGUCCAAGACAGGUGCUGCCUCGAUAAGUGUCCCUUGUCGUGCUGCUAGGUCAUAGGAAGUGUCCUCAUCCUCAGAUGAUUCAAGGUACGCAUAAUCUGCUUGGAUCCACUGAAUUUUCAACCUUGUUCGUGUAACACCUAGGUACCAAGUAAGGUAUGCACGAAAAUUGUAGUUGGUAUGUGGUUGCUCAUUUUCGUAGAGGUUGUCAUGAAACUGGUCCCACACCUCUAUGUACUGACGAUGCAACGUUUGAAACUCAACUGUCUUCUUCUGCUUCUGACGAUCAAUCCUAAAAUUAAAUAUUAAAGAUAAAAAUAAUAACAUAGAUUUAACAACAUUGGUUCUAAAACUCAGUACGGGGUUAAAGAUAUUGAACUAGCAACAUGGAUAUAGGUGGUAUGAAAUAAAUUUCAGCAAGUAGGUUGUAGUAGCACACAUCAAAUACGAUGGAAAUGACUAAGGAUAUAAAUUUCAGCAAGCAUGGAUCUGCACUAGCACAUUUAUAAAAUUCAGCAAGCAUGGAUAGGCACUAAGCAUGUAAAUUUCAGCAACAUUUAUAUAAAUUUCAGCAAGCAUGUAAAAAGUACCAACAUGCAUAUAGGGGGUAAUAAAUUUCAGCAAGGAUUUAUAUUGGACCAAGUAGCAAAUAAAUUUCAGCAAUCAUGUAAAUUUCAGCAACAUUUAUGGUAUUGAACAUUGAAUAAAUAUUGAACUUUGAAUAAAUUGCAGUCAACAUAUCUAUCAAUUGCAUGGAAAAAUUACCAAAAUGACUUACUUGUGCAGCUCCACGGAAGUAUCAAAUGGAGGGACAGGCCAUUGCUGGCACAAGCCAAAUUGGCGGGCUACUCGAUUUGGAAGGUGCCACUCAACAGCAUAGAAGCAAAUCAGAGGGUAGAUCAUCAAGUACAAGUCUUCAUCCACGCUACACAUGCUGCUUACUCCAAGAUGCAGCGCAUCAUUCGCCGUGUACGGCUCCCAAUUCACCUGCAAACAUAAGACAUGUAUAUGGCACGUUAGAGAAACUAUCGAGCAUACAUUAAACAAGAACUACUGCAUUUUACUCACCAUGGAUGGCCUAAGUGUGUCGAGCUCAUUGGCAUACUGUACGUACGCACGUGAAGUCCUGCUGAAGGGGACUUUCGCCUGGUCCCAAAGAUGGGCAAACGUCGGACGGUGACGAGGGUUGCCCACUGCAAACCAUUCCCGAGGAGCGUCAACUAUGGGCCGUCCAACUGGGAGACGAGCCCACAUCCAAAGCUGCAGUAGGUAAACACAACCACCAACGGAAGAACUACUUGCGGUCCGACGACACGCCUCACAAAGGCUACGGUAUAGGAAAGCCAGCACUCCCGAAGCCCAGCUGUAAGUACCUGUAACCGUUGCAAUCAAUUUAAUCAAUGCAUAAGUAAAUAUAAGUAAGCAAAUUAAUAAUAACUGUGUAAGGGAAAAGUACCUGUGGUGUCCCAGUCAGUGAGGCACGGGAGGUACAUCCACGAUGCAGUGUCCCCUGUCGCGUCAGGGAAAAGAACACACCCAAAUAGGUGCAAGAUCCAAGCUCUACAGUAGUAGGCAACUGUCUCCUGGUCCGCAUGUGUCGGACAAUUACCAAAGCUCUGCCUAAGCCAAGCAAUUGGUACCCCAGUGGUGCGCUGCGUCGGUGCCUCCGGAGGAAGUGGUCUUCCAAGGAAGGCCUCAACUCUGACCCUCCAACCAUCGGGCCUGCAGUGUCCGAUAACUGGACGACCUCUAACACUCAAACCUAGGAUCUUCUGAGUGUCCUGGAGUGUAACAGUCAUCUCUCCACAAGGUAGGUGGAAACUAUGAGUUUCUGGCCUCCACCUACAAUUUAAAGAACAUUGUUGUUAGGGUUUUCAGAAAGAUAGAUAAAGUUUGUUGAAAAAAACAUACGAUUACUAUGGAUAAAUGGUGCACCUGUCAACCAAAGCUGUGAUCGCCGCGGGGUUAAUUGGAGGCAACCCACGACGAACCUGAUACGAUAUGACAUCCAGGCCAGCCCUCUGUAGCAGAGGUGUGUACCUGUCGUCAUACCGCAUCUCCUCAAACUUGUCAUGCGUUCGAGGUCGAAGCGGGGGUAGUUCCUGCAACCAUACAAUCAAGUUAUUUAAUGCAUAAGUACACAAAUUAAUAAUAACUGAAAAGCAAAGAUCAAAGUAAGUACCGCCCCCUCGGCAGUGAGUCGUCCUCGGUGCUUCUGCUCGUAGUAUAGAUCCAGGAGGUGGAACUGCUCCAUCCUAUAAACAAAUUUGAUCCAUUAGUUAGUAAUUAAGCAGAAAAAAAAUAAUACAUUACAAUGUCAUUAUAUUAAACAAAGGAGCACUAGAACAUGUAUGUCUACCAAAAAGUAAGUUGCAUAUGAAAGUAUUUAUCAACUAAAGUACAUAGAAUAUUAAGUGCACCUGACUUAGCGGCCAAUGGCAAGUACGCGAGUUGUGUCCAAGUCUACCACAUUUGCCACAUUGAUUUUGCUCGGGGUCAGUAACAAACGGGGUUGCUCUCCCUUGCCUCGUUCUACCUGAAAUCUGGUCCAUGACCAUCUUAUGCCUCGUACGCUUUCUGGUUCCACGUUUGUUCCAGCGAGCACCUGGAUCUGCAAUGUACCUUGGGCCAAUGUAUUCUGGCCACUGCCCCUCAUCUAGGAAAGGCUCAAAACGGGGCGACCAAGUUAGCACAAGGCUAUCAACACUCAACUCCCAUGGUAUCUUGGUCUCGUAGUCAAAGUUGCGAUGCCUAGCUGCUGCAAUAUAGUGAGAACAAGGAGAGUGGUACUGUCUUGGUCUCCCACAUCCACAUGAAAAAUCAGUAAGGACAACAAUAUAACUCCUUGAUGGUCGGAUCUCACCAUCUGACGUUGUACCACCCCUUUCAGUGACCUGGUACUUGCCAGUGGCAUGGUCAAAACACUCUAUGUCAUGUGUCCUAGCCCUUUCCUUUGCCUUGUUAAGGUGCUUCUUAGGUCUAGGUGCCCAUUUCAUAUUAUUACUCUGUAAUUGCAAUGCCUGAGCAUGUCUAUCGUUGAACCAGGCCACUAGCCUAUAAAAGGUAAAAGAUACGAUGGCAUUGACUGGCAUGGCACGUAUACCCUUGAGCACACUAUUAAAUGACUCUGCCAUGUUGCUAGUCUGAAACUCGUACCUCCAUCCACCAUUAUCAUGGGCUCUUGUCCAUUUCUCAGGUUCCCUCAUCAAACCUAGCAGCCACUGCCUACCUUCUGCAUUUGUUGCGGUUUUUAACUGCUCCAACUUCUCCUCAAAAAAUGUCACCUCAAGCAUUCGAGCAACCUCCUCGAAUAGAGGAAAGUUGUCCUUCGUACCAUCUUUCCGAAGUAAAUUCUCUGCAAGGUGUCUAGUACACCAACGAUGGUGCAAAGGUGCAUAACCAGGAAUCUGCUCCUGUACGGCACUGAGUAUGCCCUGGUGCCUAUCAGAUAUGACACCAACCUCCCUAUGUGGGCCAAUGACAUGUAUCCGAACAAGGCACAUGAACCAACCCCAGCUUUCUUUGUUCUCUCUCUCCACCAAAGCAAAAGCCAAAGGAACCAAUGCGUUGUCAGCGUCACAGGAAAUGGCUACCAAAAGAGUGUCCAUGUACUUGCCAAGCAGAAAAGUACCAUCAAUUGAUAUCACUGGACGGCAGUGCCUAAAGGCCUGGACACACUGUGGAAAACACCAGAAUGCACGAAAGAAUAUCUGCCUCCCAUUCCUCCAUUCAUUAGGCUUCGGAAUGUACUCGUAAUGCAUGCCUGGAUUAGCCGCUUUCAUUGCAUUGAACAUUGCUGGCAGCUGCUCGUACCCCUCCUCCCAGUCCCCAUAUAUCAUCUUCCAGGCCCUUUGCUUUGCCCUCCAUGCUUUGCCAUACUUUAUGUCAUAUUUAAAUAUCUUCUGAGCCAUGUCCAUAAUUGUUCUGACCUUCAAGUUGGGCUGACCCUUUAAAGUUGUGCAUAACGUACUAGCAAUAAGUGUAGAGGUCAACUGUCGAUGCUUCUGUUGAAGGUCAGUCUGGGCACAAGUGUGUGGACCUACAAUUUUUGUGAUCUUAAACUUCCCGGUGGCCUUCUGUUUACGAGCACAGACCCUCCAGUUGCAAUCUGACAUCUCACACACAACCGUGUAGCGGCGCUCAACAUGGGAGUGCAUCACCUUGAAGGGUCUUUUACGUAUUACAGAAUAUUGUUGUAACCACCUUCUUAAGCUGGGCAAGUCAUUAAAGAUCAUGCCCUUCUGAAUUUGCACACUGUCACUAGGCUCAGGAGCCUCCAGCAGCUCAUCAUCUCUUCCCUCUGCAUAAGCAUUUUGAGAAUGACUGAGGUCACUAAACUCGUGAACUAGUGGAUCACGAUCAGGACAAAAACGUCUGAUAAGCUCCAUUUCUUGUUCACUUAAAGGUGCAACUGGGCGGUCAUCAUCGGAAUCAACAGCUCUAGCUGUGCCAUAGGGCUCCUCAUCAUCCUCAAUAUAGACAUCCAAACUAUUAGAUGCUAUAAAAGUUGCGUCAACAUUAAAUGAUGGAGGCACAAGAUGACAAGAAUCAUUACUUGGAUUGUCACCUACAACAAAACCACAAAUAUGGAUACAAUUGAGACAACUAAAUAGAACGAAGGAAGGCUAACAAAAUGAAUAAUGCAACUACGCCACUUACAUUGAAUAGUCUGGGUCAUAGGGGUCUCUAGGGAGACAACACCAACACCACCGACAAAUCUUCCAGCCUCAUUGGGACCGGAUUGAGCAUCAGGAACGACAACCACAUCUUCCACACCCACGUCCUGAAUGGGUAUCAGAGAAGCUGAGGGUGCCGGAUUGUCCGGUUCCGGCGAGAACCCACCAAUGGGUGGUUGCCAAUUAAGAGGAGAAUCCACUAGAGGGCCUGGCUCCUUGGACAAGUUGCGCACAACCAAAUCCAAACAUUUAAACUCACUCUUCAUGACAGUUUUGACAUAUUUGUCCCAUUGAACCUCGGAUACAAUUGGGACCAACCGCCUAAAAAUUGUCCCUGACCCGCCAUGGUGAAUGACCCCCUCAACUAAGAUUUCUUCUUCAUUCGAAUUACAUUUAAGCUCAUCACGAGCACUACCCAUCAAUUCAGAAAACAAGAGCCGCUCAUCAAACAUCAAAGGGACCGUUUGCAUUCCAACAAAAUCAACAUUGCCAAACUGAUCUUUCUCCACACUUCCUCCAUGAUAUAAGGUUACUAAAUUGUCCAUCUAAUUGAUAUACAAAACAACCAUGUUACUAGGCAUAUAACUAAUACAAAUAAAACACAUAAAUAUCUAUCUAAGUAAAUACGUAUGUAACUAACUAUAUAACUAAAAUUACAAACUAGAUUUAUCUAACUAAAUUACAUAAUUAAAUUCUAGAAAUAUUACAUAAACUACUCUAAAUUAAAUAAACAACUCUAAAUUACAUAACAAUAUUCAUAUAAAUAAUACCAAUAUAGAAAAUUGCUACAUGAAUUAUUUCAAAAAUUAUACAACUUAGAAAACUAACUACAUUAUCUAAACAAUUAUACAACUAGAAAAAAAAAAUUUACCUGACCAAAGCAGCGCCGGGGCCGGGGCAGUCGUGGAGCCGUCCGGUGACAGCCGCGGGGCUGGCCGGGCCAGCCGCGGGGCCAGCCGGGGGCAGCCGCGGGGCGCGGCUUGGGCACCGGCGGGGGCGCGGCCGGGGGCAGGGGCCGCGGCGGCCGGGGGCAGCGGCCGGGGGAAGCAGCGGCGGCCGCGGCGGGGCGGGCCGGCCGGGGGCGGCGGCGGCAGGCGCGCAGCGGCGGGGGGGCGUGGCGGGCGGGCGGCCUCGGAACCGAAGAGGACGAGGCGGCCGCGGGCGGUAUUUUGUCUCAAUACCUCGACGCCAGGAUCUGUGGCGCCGAGCUCGGCGCCGUGAUCUGUGGCGCCGAUCUUUUUUUUUCCACUGCCACGUCAGAAUGUACGUUGGCCGCAUCCAGGACCUCGGCGCCGUGAUCCAUGGCGUCGAGGCGUGAUACCUCGACGCCAUGAUGCAUGGCGUCGACACCCUGGGUCCAUUUCUGCAUUUAAGUUUUCCAGAGGACCAAUUGUGAAUUUUUUUAAAAAAAGGGCCAAAUUGUAAAAAAUUGGGGCUAGCGUACGCGCCAUCUAUUUGCAUCCACGCGCAUACACAAAUACUCCCUCAGUCCCAAAAAGAGUGUCGUUUUAGGUUUUUGUGCCACAAGUUUGACUCGAUUUGUAGAAAAUAUAUGCAAUAUUUAUAUCUCUAAAUAAAUUUGUUAAAAAACUAGACUUAAAGAUCUUUCCAAUGAUACUAAUUAUGUACUAGAAGUACUAAUAUUUUUUACUAUAUAUUUAGUUAAAGUUAUUUCUCGGGAAGCGAAAACGACACUUAUUUUGAGACGGAGGGAGUAACACAUAAUAGGAUGCAGGUAAUAAAUUAUGGCAUGCAUGCGUUAGGCCGCGUGCACGGAUGUUUUUUUACUCGUGCCACUUGCUCCCUCUGCGGCACCCCUCCUCCACUCUGGCUCCCGGCGCCCAUCCUUCUCUGGCUCCCCUCAUCUCCACCACCGUCCCGUUGCAGCGCGCUAGGACUUCGCCGGAGCCCUAUAAACACGAAGCUCCGACGAAGCCCUAGCGCACCUACAACGGCUUUCUUCUCCCCUCUUCCCCCUCUUAUGUCGCCGCCAUGGCCUCCUUUGCCCCUAGCUCUGCCGUCGCGACACCUUUAUAAUGGCCAGCCACCUUCACCAUGCUAGGGCCCCUAAACCACUCUUCAGCCAUAUGCACUGUAUGCCCGGUCUUCCUUCCUCAAACCUUCUCUUUCUAAGCCCACCAGAGUUCGAGAAGAUGAGAGAGAGCGCGCUUGCUGGAACCCUAACUUGCAUAUCGAGGAGGAACCCGCCUACCUCGCCGUUGCCGUUGUCGUCAUCAAAGGGGAGAGAGGGAGGAGACGCAUGGGGAGGAGCCACGUGCGUGUUGUGAAUAAAUCUUUGUCCACCUAAAAUGCAUGGUUUGUAGCGUUGCAACGAGUUAACAAAUUAAGGAUCGGUAAUGAUUAGGAGCGGGCGUCCGUCUGCGCCGAAUGUGGCUUUCUGGGCCGCCGCGGCCCAACAGGUAGGCUUCGUUGUGUCACAUCAUCUCUAGCAAAAUAUCUUUUACUCCGUAGUUAUCCAUUCAUAUGCGGUUACGCAUGCGCUCGCUGCUGCCGUCUUCCCCACCGUGCAGCCCAUCUCGCGGCGUGCAACUCUCUAUCUAGCACCGGGCACUCCUUCAUCGCCUUAGCGUGCUCCAAGCUCCGAUGGCCCCGCUCCAGCUCCAUGUGCACUACGCGCCCCGCUGCUACGCACCGUGUUCCAUUCCUAUUUGCGUCUCACCGAAUCUGGCCGGCAGGCUUAAGGAAGCUGUUGGCGUGUGGCCGGCGGACUCAAGCAAGCAGCUGACCCUCCCCUAUCGUGGUCGGCGGCGUCCUCCCCAGAUCUGGCAGCGUCUUCUCUUCCUUAGCCAAUGGUGAGCAUGCCAGGGCGUGCGGGCGGACCAUCCAGCGAGCCUGUGCCACCGUAGGUUCCACCAAGUAGGUCAUGGCCGCGUGAUGUUGAUGUGUUUCGAGUGUUUUUGGACUCUUUUUUUUAUAUAUUGCAAGCCCAUAUUUCAAGUGUUUCAGUUUGUUUCGUGUGUAUGUUUCAGUUGUUUCAUGCAGAUGUUGCAAAAGUAGAUCAAGAUAUUGUAGAUGUUGCAAUAUAAUGGUUGUAUAUGUAUGUUGUAAGCGUCUUUCUUCAAUGUUUCAGUUGUUUUUAUACACAUAUUUUUACAAGUGUUUUAGAUGUUUGUGUGGAGUGUUUCAACUGUCUUCUUCACUAUGUUGCAAGUGUUAUAUCUAGAUAUUUCAAAAUUAGAUCAGGAUGUUUGCACAUAUUGCUAUGGUGUUUCAAUUGUACGAUGCAAAUGUUUCUUCUGAUUUAGACAUAUGUUGCAAAGAUUUUGAUCUGCAUGUUGCAGUAUUGGACGGUGUGACCGGUGACUGUUGCUGCCGCUCGGGGGUGCAGCCGUGGUUUUCUGUGUGUGGGGCGCAAGGUGGGUACGGGGUGCAGUUCCCUGCUACGGACGCGCUGUUGCUCGGGGUGCAGCCGUGGUUUUCUUCGUGCGGGGCGCUAGGUGGGUACAGGUUGCGGUUUCUGCUACGGACGCGUUGUUGCUGGCGCUUGGGGUGCAACCGUGGUUUUUUGUUUGCGGGGGCACAUGGGUGGGUAUGGGGUGCUGGUCCCUGCUACGGACGCAGGCGUAAGUGCUCGGACGACAUGCAGAGACCUAAAUAUGGGGCACGAUGCGGACACGGAAACAGCGUAGUUGUUGGAACCGUGUCCGGACGUGACAUCCCAUCCGGAGGUCCUGGCGCUAGGUGUACCGAUUAAGGAUCCUUGAUGUUUUCGUUUUCACGUCUUUGGACAACUCCUGAUGUCGACUUAUUAGAACCUGACGUUGCUGAUGACGUCAUUGAUCACCUGUGCUGCUCUCACGUGGCCCCUCGUCAUGCAUGGAGUUCCCAGUUCAGUCAUCAUCGAACACAGCAUGGAAGUUCUUCACACCAACGGAUUUGGAACGAGAUCCUCUGCAGUCAGGCUGGUAGACUGUCUUCUGCAGUCAGCUGAUCUGUGCCGUUAGUUGCGAUCCAACGAUGAGGAGUUCUCACCAGUCUCCCACAAGCACAACGACACACGGCCCAUCUCAGCCCAAGAUGGCUUUGCCUUUGUCUUCCUCAUUGUGAUGCCCAGCCGAAGGUGACGAAUCGCACGAUGGCGUCUUGACUGCGCAGAGGCUUGGAGGCUUGGAGCGGUGCCCCUCUUCUUGAUGAUUGUGGCUCGAAGCUGAACACAGCUUGCGCGACGGCAGCGGCAGGAUCUGGCCAUGGCUACAAAGCAAGACGCUGCUUGUACUUCUCUAUUAGAUUAGCUCCGGAGUCCGGACACAUAGAAAAAAUAAACUGGCGCUAAACAACCCUAGGCCGCGACCGCCUGCAUAGGCUGAUCUGGAGGCCGUGCUUGACGGAGCAGGGCUGCAGCCGUCUCCAUGCGCCAUGCUAGAGGACCGCGCGGUCGUCGGCGCUCGACGGAGCAGGACCACAGGCCACAGCCGCCGUGGUGGAGUAGGGCCGCGGCAGCAAGAGUCUCCGGCCACGAUGGCGAUCUCUGCCUUGCAGGACACUGGCAACGGCGACGGCGGCGAGUUAGCGACAGUGAAGGUGGCGAGCGGGGGCGGAGGGAACCUUGCACUAUCUCGUGUGUAGGAUCUCGUUCCGACGGAUUUAGAUGAGCUCUGUGAGACGCUCCAACAGUGUGGUACCCGUACCCACCGCUGCUCCAAUAAUAUUUUCGCCUAGGUGAUCGAUCUUACCCUCAGUUAUGUACUCUCGUUUCAUGCACUGAUGGAAUGUAAACGAGUAAUGUAAUAACGAGUUACCAAAAAAAAAAAGACACCGUACGUCCCUCGUAGUCGUAUAGUCUGAAAUAAUGCUUCCCCAUUUCAGUUGAGACCAGCUAGGGUACAAGACGGCGAUUUCUACCACGAUCAUGGCCAAAGUAGCUAGUAGUACGUAGAGCAUCAAUGUGGUCCAGGCUAGCUGCAACUACACGCUGGGUUUGGCUAUACAAACGCCGGGACACACAGCUUAGCAUAUCUCCAAUUGCCCCGACACUGCACACCGAGAGAGAUCUGAAUUCGGAUGGACCAAAGCAUGCAUGCAGCUGGUGGACUGCUGGACAAUGCCCUUCCUCGCUCAUCAGAUACUCGCAAGGUUACAUCACACACACAUGUACGUACCAAGUCUCUUUAUGUAUGCUACGUAAGUGUACGUACGUAUAGGCGUAUAGCAGGCAGGCAGGCAGGCAUCAGGAAGCAGCUUCUACAUACCCUAGCUACGCAUAUGCUGCAGGUCUGAAGCGGCGUGUCGACAAAGGCGUAGAGGUGGAUGCAUGCAAACGGCGCGGUCGAUCGGUCGGUGAAUAACCACCACGGGUCGGUGCCUGGCUCGAUCGGUGGGUGCAUCAUCAAUUAAUGUCGUUUGCAAGCCAACUGGCUUUGCAUAUGCAUAUCGCCGUCGGCGACGGGGCUUUCUGCUGCUAGCUAUUGCUAGCUCCUGUCCUGUGCCCUUCCUUUUUCCUUCCCCGGCCGGCCAAGUGUACGUGUGCAACGCAAGCCGCCGGCCGCCGAUCGAGGGGAGCGAGCGAGCGGAUAUUCGCAGCAUAAUCCGGCGCACUUGUUCCGACAUUGCAUCAUGCACCACGCCGUCGUCGUCCCUCCGACGACGAUUGACCGCUCCUCCUCUAGCGCUUUCCCGUCCGUUUCGUCCCCGCUGCCGCCUUUGGCUUUUGCCUUUCCCGCUUUGGUCUCGCCGUUCAGUCAGUCCGAUGAUCCACCACCAGCCCAUCCACACUCCACUCCUUGGCUGCUACGUACAUCAUUACUAAUAAACUAGCAUUAUUUAGCAAUAUAAUGCUAAACUAGCUUCUCCCAUCGGCCAUCGCCUCUAUAUUUUGACUGGCAUUGUAUAUACACUACUAUAUGUUGCAAUAAGAAGAAGAAUAAUCCAUUUUGCCUUUUGACCUCUGUUAAGCAGCAAUAUAUGUAAUGAUGUGGUCGUAAAAGAUGGUAAUUAAUUAAUUAACUCUGCUAAUAAUGGCCGUUGGUUUUUCUUUUGAUUAGUACUAGUAGUAUGAACGCAUGCGUUUUUCUUAAAAAAAAUGAACGCAUGCGUGACAACAUCACUCUCGAUGCGAUGGAUGGGGGAUCAACUGGUAGUGCUCUGUUGCGAUUACCACCUGGUUGACUCAUCAUCUAACUAUAUCCUAGUUAAUAAUAAGCGUGUUCCAGGCGAUAAUAACAAUGUGCAUGCAUGUGGCUACCUAGCUUGGGCCCAGCCGCCCAGCAGGGCCGGGGCUGCACACUUUUGUGACGUGUCGCUGCCUCCUCAGGCUCAGUGGGUAAAGCACUUGCCUAGCACAUAGCCGUAUAGCUGCACAACUCUCUCGUGCUAGCUAGCUUCUCACUGCAAAAGAGAUCGAUCGAUAUGAUCCUCCGCCCUGCCCUGAUAAUGCAGGUCGUUUUUGGAUGUGCUGUUGCUAAUGGCUCCAGGCUCUGCAGUCGAUCAGCUGCAUGCCGCCCUGGAUGGGAAUUUGGAGGCACUGUCCACGUACGUACAUAUAUAUAUGUACCCACUGUUGCAGGAUACCUAAUGCAUGACCAUGGUGCGUGCAUAAUUGCAGUGCCUACAUGGCUACAACGACAGUAACAGUGCAUGCCAUGCACGGCCAGCUCAGAGAUCAACUGUUGCUCUGCUUCAUCAUCUACAACUGCAGAUAUUUCUUUUUCAUCUGCAAGCAGGGUCGAUAUCGUUGUUGCCAACUUUUAUUUAGCUAUGCUAUUUUUUCCCUUGUUAUCGAUGAUUAGGGAGAACAAGUUGAUGCUGUGGGGCUGAUUUGUAGUGGUAGUAGUAGUGUUGUGAGUUGUGACCAUUGAAGACCCUGUCUCUUCUAUUUGCCGGGGAGAACUGGGCUCGUUCGUGUCCGGCUAGGACUAGCUGGGGAAUCUCUCUGUCUCAGAAAAAAAAAAGCUGGGGAAUAUGAGAAAAAGAGGCUGCGAUGAUAGGGACACAACGUUGCAUCGCGCGUAGUACUCUACGCAAAAAUAUCUCCUUCAGGUCAUGAAGAUUUGAGGUUUCCUGUUUCAGUUGUAGAUAGAUUUCUCUUUGUAUUUUGUUAGAGGCUGCAUUUUCCUGGAUUUAGUAUGCAUGUAACUGAUAAUUCUCUCUUUAGGCCAUGAAAGUUUGAUUAUAUUGUCAUUUAUUAGAGGCUUCUUUUUCUUUGAUUAAAGAAUGAAUGUGGUUCCAUCCAUGCUACAAGCUUUGCAGAUCCUACUAAGGACCAAACGCGAUGUUAAUUUUGAAUAGGACAAAGAAAAAAAGAUUAAAUACUUUGGCCAAUAACAUGGCCACUCGAACCCCCCCCCCCCCCAGUAGAAAAGUUAUGCGGAUCCUCGAGGACCAAAUCGGAGACCAGCAUUUUUUUUUCAUGUUAGCAGCCCAGUAAAGUCAAUAGUAUGUGGUACAAUAAUGUAAAGCUAGAGACUGCUUACGCCAACCCAAUCACAUAUAGCUUCUGUAGUUGGCAUCAUGUUAUGCAUAAGCAUGUUUGACUUGAUAACUCCUAUAAGGUGCUUUGCAAAGUGGGAACUGACGUGUAUUUCUUAUUGCUCAUGAUACCGCAUCUUGUUGUCAACACAAAGGAACUACUUCCUAGAGUGCUAACUGUACUUUCGCCGAAAAUCAACAAUGGCCAAUGAAAUAGCAGCUUCCUAGAAGGUACAACUUCUCGUCACACAACAAGCCCACCCCCCACGCCCAAAAGAAAAAACUACAGCAUCCACACAAUAUACCUUGAGAUUGUGGUAUUUUUCAUUGGUGCUAAACUUCCAUUUCCAUGGUACAUUGCUCAUCCCUCAACUUAUAGGCCGUUUUAGUAAGAUCCUAUGUGAGUUACAAAACUGUCCUAAGGCACAAAAUUCCUCUUAUACAGCAGGCCGUCUGAGUGAUGAGUAUCUAUAUGUCAGCAACCUUGAUGCCAACCUUGACACCGUUUUUCUCUUGAAGACUAAAUAAAGGGUCAGGAGAACGGAUACGAUAAGAAGAUACAACCAGAGGUGAGCUUCUUGAACAUGGAACAGCUUGAAAUUGUCGCAGUGGCAGCCCUGGUCGUUAUGGGGCAGCUUCAUCUGCCCAUCAGUUCCAUCCGGGUCCAAGAUGAAAUCCAGGUUGACAGCUUCCUGCUCCAGCAUGAUGCGUGUGGAUUUUUGCCGGAAGCCUUCCAUUGAUGCCACGACUGCCACGAAUGACGGGCAGAAAUGUCACUGAUUUUAUAGAUCUUGUUUUUCAGGCUAUUGAUUUCAUCUGUUAUCUCAUGGGUGGUCAACUUGGUCUUACUACCUAAACAAAUGAAUCAUGGAGGCUAAUCCUUCCGACACUAAAGGAAUGUAAAUCUUGUUUUUGAGGAGUCUAUUAAUCUCAAGUUUAACCAACAAUGUGCUAAUAUUUAUGGCAUGUAAUAAGUUAAUUAGAUUAAUCAUGGAAUAUAUUUUCAUAAACCUAUUUGAAGAUACAAAUGUUGAUAUUAUUUCCUAUAAAUCUAAUAAAACUUGAGACCUAUUAACUCCACGUCCACGGGAAGCAAGAUUUACAUUCCUUUUGGGAUGGAGGGAGUAUGUUAUUUUAUGAAGGUGGCAAAACUUGGUUAGCUGAUGCUAACCAGAAAUUGUGCUACUUCUGCUUGAUAGGCUAAGAAGUAAGAAUAUAAGUUGAAAAAAAGGAAGAAAAACAAUCAGACUGUUGUCAUGUCAAGUGAACAGACAUGCUGGUCCGAGGAUUACUAAUCUCUUCUAUUAACUGCAGGUGAUAUAACCAUAUACACAAACGCUGUGUUGCAUAUGGGAUGAUAAACUAAUGAAAAGAAUUUACCUUCAUAUGUCUCACCAGGAGCAACAAUUCGAUGGUAAUCUCCGAAAGUACUGCUCGCACUUACCUAUAGCAAAAAAAAGUUAUGUAAGUCUGAAACUCAUAUCAACAAUCUAUAUUCAUUUUUCAGUUCAUCCAAUCUGACAAAAGAUAAUUAAUGCAGCCAAAAUGAACUAACCCUGGAAUCAAUGCCCUUUAUCAUCACUGAGCCAGGUAUAGGCCUGCCAGUAUCUGCUGCAAAUAUCCUUCCAUGAACUCCUGACUAAAACUAGAGUCAAUAUGAUGGGACAGCCAGAUACACUCUAGUAACUCUUGCAGAUAGAAAAAAAAGGGGCAACUCCCAGAAGCAGAUAGAGGAACCAAAAGGUUUCUCCAAUUAAUACAGGGCAUAAAGUAAAUUUGUGGGACUUAAGAAUGAUCACACAUAUCACAGUAACAUCAAACCUACCCAAGUAACCUUUCGAGGGUCACAAGUCAGAGUCACGACUCAACAGAAUUCCUCCAGUCCAAAUUGAAUUCACUUUUUUUCGUUUAAAGACAAUGAUAAGGAUAUCUUGUAAUGCAAUUGAAAUAACAGCAAUAUUACUUGAUAAACUGUCAUGGGCAUAAAGAGGGGCGCCAUAGGGCGCAAGUGUCCUAGUUGGGCCUUAAGCCCAUUAGUGUUAAUUAGUGUCUCUCUUAGUUAUUUGUCUAUAGGAAUAGUACCAUAUUGUCUAGGCACAAGAGGUGUUAGUCCUAUGUACCUUUUAUAUUCAGCCCAUGGGGCACAAUGGAAAUCAAGCAAUGAAUUAUGAAGAAACAAUUCUAGUCUCCCUCAAUCUCUCAAGCUCUUGGCAAAGCAUAAGGCCUAGUUAUCCCAAAGCUCUUGGCAAAGCAUAAGGCCUAGUUAUCUCCAAAAAUAUCCACGUUCAUAAUAUCUGGUAUCAGAUAGAGUCCAGCGAUCCUCCUCCAUCAGCCGAAUCCUCCAGCACUUCCUAUCCUCCAUCAGCCGUUUCCAAAAAAAAAAAAGAUACCGAUCCAGAUCGCCGUGUCGCCUACAUCAUCCAUCUUGCCGCGCCGCCACAGCAACGCCACCAGCCGCCGCCGCACCCCCAUCACCACAGCCACCGCGCCGCAGCCCCAUCACCACCAUCCGCCGCCGCCGCCGCAAUCAUCGAUCUAGAUCUGCCACAACACACCGCCGCUGCCACGCUUUGCCUCGAUGGAUUUCCCUAAAUUUGCGGGGAAAUCUGAUCUUGUGGCCUUCGUCAACCAGUGCGACUCCUACUUCCGCCGAGAGCGCAUCAUGGAGGAAGAAAAGGUAUGGCUGGUUUCUCGUAAUUUGGAAGAUGAUGCCCGGGUUUGGUUCCUACAAGUCCAGCACGCUGAAGGCACCCCGGCGUGGCGUCGCUUCACCGAGCUCCUGCACCUGCGCUUCACAUCGCCCCCGUGCCCCGACCUGCUCCACCAUGUGUCCUCUACUGCCAACGACACUUCCUGCAUCUUUGCUGAUAUAUUCACGCAGCUGGAUCGGAUCAAGGAGUUGCUCAACGCGAAGGAUAAGAAGGACCGUGAAUGUCGGGCGGCUGUACGUCUCCAGGCAACAGCACGGAGACUCUUGGCACGUCGCCGAGCGCAGGCUCUUCGUGCCACAAAAGCAUCGAAGGAGCAAGCAACGGUGCGCCUCCAGGCAGCAGUGCGAGGAAUGCUUGUCCGUCGCAUGGUACGGCAGAUACGCAUGCUCCUCAGCUCGACGUUGUCGUACGUGUUCAUCCACUCGGACUCGCCGAUACGGCCUGCGGCUCCAAUUGCAAUGGAGGUCCAAGUAUGGGCGUUUCCAGUGCAGCGACCUCGCAUCAGCAUCCAGCAUCAGGCAUCAAAGGCUAUCUCAUUCAUCCUUGUGCCUGCCGUGGUGAUAGACACUUUCAGCAUAAGAGCCAGCUGCUUCACACUCCACCCUUCAGCCUACAUGAAGCCAGCAGAGACGCUCUUCCCAUGGGAUCCAGGUGGAUAUCAUUGUAUUUUAGUAUUCAAUAAAAAGGGAAAGCCGAGAUGUAAAAGGCUUAACCCUAUUUCGCGUCAGCUCUCCAGCUCGAGGACGAGCUGGGUCUCCAAGGGCGGGGGAGAUGUCAUGGGCAUAAAGAGGGGCGCCAUAGGGCGCAAGUGUCCUAGUUGGGCCUUAAGCCCAUUAGUGUUAAUUGUCUAUAGGAAUAGUACCAUAUUGUCUAGGGCACAAGAGGUGUUAGUCCUAUGUACCUUUUAUAUUCAGCCCAUGGGGCACAAUGGAAAUCAAGCAAUGAAUUAUGAAGAAACAAUUCUAGUCUCCCUCAAUCUCUCAAGCUCUUGGCAAAGCAUAAGGCCUAGUUAUCCCAAAGCUCUUGGCAAAGCAUAAGGCCUAGUUAUCCUAAAAAUACCCACGUUCUUAACAUAAACUCUGUUCUUGCCAAAUAAGAAAAAACACAUCCCACAAAAUCCUGGCUAAGGAGACAUGGUGAGAAGCUCUUUGGCUCUUUGGGGUAUAGAACCCCAAAAACAUACUGAUCAAAACUAGAGACAGUAGUGGCAAAAACAUCAUCCCAACAAGAACAGUUAUCCAUCACGAACAGUGAAAGGUUUAUUGAAAAAGGAAAGCAGGAUAAGCUUUCUAGUGCUCAUGCCAUUGCAGUGACAGUGAAAUGCAAUGAGAAACUCUAAAAAAAAUUUGCGGGCUUGUUCAGAUUCAGAGCAACUUGGCCAAAAUGGGGUACCCUGAACCAGCCUGCUUUCUAAAAUUUGGUUGCCCUGCAUUUUUAGUUAUAGGAAAUAACUGGAUAGCUACAAACAUCAUUAUGAACCAGUUACCAGUACAUGAUCCAGACCCUGGUCUAAACAUGAGCAACCAUGUGCCUCAAUUCACUAACCAACACCAUCUCAUUUCAAUUAGUGCAAAAGUCAGCCAUUGCAGUGCAUAAAGAGACUACUGCGGAAACAUAUUACCUUUAUUAGGCUUGCAAGAAGAUUGAGCAUACUCAUCCUAUUGUGUUCCCAGAUGACAGGAAGCUGUAGCAAAAUGAUAGGAUAAACAACAGAACAGAAAAAUAAUUAUCAAAUGGUCUGGGUCUGCAACAGUAGAAGUGGAACCUAACUAGAUGCAAAGGUACCUCAUCUGCUUUUGGCCACUUUGUGUCACUAAUCUCCAGAGUUAACUCAAAGCAGCCUCCAUGUAUAUAGUUCCAGUCUUGCAUACCACCAUAUAUUGGAUACCUGAACCACAAGCAAUGGUGUUGUUUGAUUCAAAGCCCAUACAUACACAACCUAGAUAAAGAAAAUCUCAUAUGCAGUAUGAGAUUGCUAUUGUUUGUUUUACCAGAAUGCUCCAUUUGUUAUCCCUCCUUCAAAUUCUUUGCUCAAAGACAUGUUGUAGUGGGACCGACUAUACACAGAUGCCAUGUGCCGGAAUGUCUUAUCAUCAGGACAUCCAUAGUAAUGUUUGCUGUAAGAAGUAAAAUCUUUGUUGAGAAUCUUACAAUGUGAAACCAAGGAAGUCACAUCGGGCCCUAAAACCCAGUGGUGACAAUCAGCAAAUCAAAGAAAGCGACCACAUGUAGGAUUCAGAAAAUAGGCUUAUCGUCACAUCGUUGGAUAUUUUGAGAGAGAGAGACCUGUUUGAUGGAGCAGGAGAGAUACCAUGUAUGUGUAUAAAUCUAGUUGUUUGUGACAGCACAGAAUAACUCAUAAAUUCUACAUUAAUGGUUCAUUUCAGACAUAGUAGUUUAUUGAUCAGCUGAUUAAGACUAUGUCAGGCAUGAAGCUGAUCCUAAUCUGUCCCAACACAUGACAGUCCUUGCCUUGACACCCCCCCCCCCCCCCCUCCCAAAAACAACUGCUCACCCAAACUGUUCGAAUUAGUCAUAAAUCAGCACCCAAUGAUUUUUCUUCGCCAUGUACAUGUUGUGUUGCUGGUCUAAAUUUGCGGAUUGAUGGAUGGCCACAUACCUUACAAUACAAAAGUAUAUCAGUAUUUGAACAGGGAGAAGCAAAUGGUCCAAUUUAAAUGGUUUGGGAGAUUAGAACGAGUCAAGCUUUUUAAGGGUGUCAAGAGGACAAGGUGAUAGUAAAACAGACCAUUUUCAUAUAAAGAAUAAAAAUGCAACCAACAGUGGCCACAUCUUAUUAAAACAGAUUAAGGCUAACACAACUUUUGGUCAGUACUUCAUGAAAAGUUCAUCAGACUUUCUACAUCUUUAAAAGUUUGAGAGCAACACUAUUGAUUGAGAUACUUGAAAAAAUGAAUGUAAGUAAUUAAGUAGAAGAAAUCACAUUGUGUCUCUGGUUCCAUCCCAUGGAUAGUUGGCAACAAGAGCCCCCUGAAAAAAAAAUCAAAUAACAGAAAACUAUAGGACCUCAAUUCAACAAGAUAAGUGAUAUUACGACUACAGUAGGUGACAAUAGUUACCCCAUGCAAGCUAGCAGAAGCUGUGAAGUGUUCUUGCUUUACCCAAUUCAUGAUGGCUCUAGUUUCAGGCUGUCUGUAGUCAAUAUCGUUGUUAACGGAGAAGAACUGUCAAUUUCGGCUAGUGUCAAUUGAAUGGCUACAAGAAAAAAGGAAGUACAAAAAGGGAAGUAGAAGCUUCCAUAAGGAAAAGAGAUGCAAUGUAAAGAAGUACUCACUUGGUCAGGAAAAUCCCUGUUGAGAUCAAUAUUGUUUGCAUUACCACGCCAUCUAAGAGCAAAUCCAUCAGGGUUCAUUGUUGGAAGUAUAUGAAGGUGGAUGUUCUCAACAAUAAGAGUUGCCUACAGAAAUUAGUUCAACUGCUGACCUUUCCAUAUACAGUUAACCAUUUUCACAGAUUAAUGAAAAUAUGAUGUGCUAUACAUCAUAGUUACAUGGAACACCAUAUCUUAAUGUUGAACAAUAUAUCGUAAACUAAGUAAAAACAGCAUCUUUUAGAAUAUCAUUUCAUACUUCAUAUUUCGAAUAAUUUUCAUGUGUUAUUUUAUUUGUACCAAAAUUAUGAUAUCAUCAGAACAACUCAAAAAAAAUAAUGAAAGUAGUUAUCACAGAGCUAAAAACUACAAGAGGUUGGCUAUUGGUAAACUGCAGGGUGACCAAAGAGCAAGUAACAUCAGAGGAAUGUUGCAUACCAAUGAAUCCUUCAGAUAGUUAUCACACAGCCAAUUUGCAAGAUGUAUAAGAACCUCUCUGCCAACAGGCUCGUCACCAUGAACAUUUCCAAUGAACUGCAUGGCACAAAUUAAAUCACAUACAAAUUCUUGCUACCUUUAAUACUGAGAUUAGGAUAAACAACCUAGAGAAUUCAUCAUCAAUUUUAGUUGAAUAAGAAUAUAAGAGGUAAUUAACUCCAGCAACAGAGCAAGUCACCAGAAUAAUUGUCAAUGCACUUUGUUGCAGGAAACCAUGUGUUUAAGCAUGGAUCUAGUAUAGGAAAUUCAGCUUAGUAAUUGCCAAUGUGACAUUACUUGAUUGCAUGUUUGCCACUCAGAAAGAUGUGUUUAGUGUGAGUGUGAGCCUACGUGGGUAACAUUUCUGUGCUCAAGAUGUGGGGAAAAGAGUUGAAUUAUAAGAGUGAAAAAAGAAAGGGUAUGGCAUCAUGUAAGUCGAAUUCCAGAAAUUGGCAUAAAGGCAUUGCAUUGGCAUUGAACAUAUCCCACAUCGCCAAUGAUUCUGACACAGCUACCCUUUUAGACAACAAGCAUUAAACCAAAGAAUAUAUAUAUGAGAUGAAAAUCACAGGAAAUUUCUAACCAGGAAUUUAUUUCCAUUCUCCAAAUUAUGAAAAAGGAAAGCCCCACUCAAUAGUGUUAAAGAAAAUAGUACCACAAACCUUGAAUGCUGGUUCAGCUUCUCUUUGCCUGGGCUUGUCCGAUAUUUCAAUCACCCACUACAAGAACAAUCAGAAGUAUUCCCCAGUAUGUAAACUUGACACUAAGAAAAAGUGAAAAACAUACAAAAGAACACACCCAUUUAAUUUGCAUACCAAUGGAAAAUGAUUCACACUCUUUCCAAUGCUGAUAGCAGGUUUGUGUUAUCCCUCAAAGAGAGAAGAAACAAAAGGUAAGUGAAAUGUGAACAUAUGAGAAUACUGGACACUGGAGAGCAGAAAAUAAAGGAAGAAAGAAGCAAUGCACUUAAAAACUGUGAUAAUCAAGGAUAAUACCAAAGUUGAUUGACAAACAAACAAAAUAAAGAGAUUGAAACCAAAUUAUUCUAUUAUUUAGCAAAUGCUUAGAAUAGGUGAAUCAUGGCCAACGAACAUGGAACAUUUCAACAAUAUGAAGUAAAACGGAACUAUAUAUGAAUCCUAUGAAAAUAAUUAUGUUUCUAAGUUGGCAUUUCAUGAUUGUUUUUCUUUUGAAAACUACAUGUUUCAUUUUAGCCAUUUGCUGUUACCUAUCAAACAUGACUGUAUAUGCAUCGUUGAUUCUCUCAUCAUUGAUAACGACUUUGAAUUCCAGAAUAUAUGACUAGCCACCAAUGAUGCAGGCAUUUAGAUGGCUUUACAAAAUGAUGGUCUUAAAAGUUUAUUUAAAGCUCCGCAUGCAAUGAUCACAAAGAAGUAAAACAUUAUACAUCAUGUACCUGUACACCCUGGAGAUAUUGGAACAACGACUUCCAAAGGCAUGUACAGCAGACUCAAGCUCAGCAUUGCUCAUAUAUCCACGGACCAUUUCAUCCCUAAAUGUAUUUCAAAAACAAGCACAGCAGAGUCAACCAAUAAUGUCAUCAGACCGAGACACACAUUGUUUUCUUUUUAUAUAAGAAAACCCUUAAAAGUUCUAAUUCUAAACAUACGUGAUCUGAGGCGGCUUAUCUUCAAGAAGUUUACGUGAAAAUGACCCAUGAGCUCCAUCAUCUGCACACAGUGGACAAACAAAAUAAUAGAUACGUCAGUAACUGCCUAAUCAGAAUAGGUCCGUAUAGGCAGAAACAUACAUCAGUUUAUUGUGGAAUAUGUCUAAUCAAACAGAUAGACCCUGAGGUUAGUCAAGAACUCAAGAUAAGAGUAAUUUGAUCACAUAAGAGAAGGGCAUGGGUAUGAAUCUGUUUUGGAUGGAGCGUGGACAAAAUAAGCCACUACAAAACCCCAGCUUAUUGAUUAAUCAAGCCAUUACAAAAAAAAAAUGUAUACCACUGUUUUAAUAAGCUAAAUAAAUACGUGAUAGGCCAUGUAGUCUUCAACAGUCAACACACACAUCACGUAAUGAAGAGCAUGAAUGAAACUUUUAGAAUUCUAGCUCCUCCCCGGCAUCGCUGUGCGUGCACCGACUCCAUUCAUCCCCCAAUCAACGAUGGUUGUACCAAAAUGACUUGUAUUACAGGCACCAAACAAUUCCACCAAAAAAAAAUUAUCCUAUAAACCCCCACCAAAACCGAACGAGCUGCCGGAUCCGCAGUGCCCGAGGCUCCAAGUGGGACCCCUUCACACGGAUGGGGAACGGUUAUAAGUUCCAACCAGCAUCAUCGCCCCCCAUUACAGUGCAUAUCCAAGUAUCCAACCCUGACAUCACAUAGGGGAAGAGGAGGGAGAGACCUGACGGAUCGCGGCCGCCUCUCGCGACGGCCUGCGUGGGAAGCGACGCGAAGGCGCGGAGCACGAGGAGGAGGAUGAUGACGGGCUGGAGGCGCGAGAUCGCCAUGGGCGCGGGAGGACUGGACUCCGCCCACGGGAGGGACUGAGGGAGGUGGGGGCUGGGGAGCGAAGCCGCUGGACGCUUUGUGUUUGACUGGUCCGUUCCAGGGCCAACCGCACGGUGACCCGGACACGGCCAGUGGCAGUGACUGGUGGCCGGCAUGAUCUGCUCCAAUAGAGAAUGUACACAAAACGUUAACAAAACAGCACCAGUGGUCUAGUGGUAGAAUAGUACCCUGCCACGGUACAGACCCGGGUUCGAUUCCCGGCUGGUGCAUGAUUUUUAUUUUUAUUUUUAUUCAUUCAUAUGGAUUUCCAUCCAUUUCAUUUCGUGUGCUUAAUAUUAUUAUGUUUUGUGUUCCUCAAAUUCCUCUCCUGUUAUACAUUUCCUUCCAUUUCAGUUGCAUUUCCUCGUGUGUUCAAUUCAUGAUGAUGAAAAAAACAUGAGAUAUUUUUAUUCAACGAUUUCAUUUUACAUGUACGACAUUGUUUCAGUGACCAAUUGAGGUGUACGAUCCAUUUCUUUUGCUCAAAUAAUUAUCUAAAACAAAAUAAGGUUUGUAACGUAGCAUGCUCUAACUCAGAACUCAGAACAAAGGCAGCAACGAAGACUACUCCUUUGUGCUGUCCUAAAAAGGCUUAUAUAAAAAGAGAGAAACACAGCUAAGAAAGUGGCAUUUUAGCCUAGCUGCUCUACAUCACCUGCAUCUAUUCAUUCAGUUUGAAACACUCCUUGAGCCUCCGCUUGGUUCAUGUGUAAUGGGAGGAAAAUUUGUAGUCCCUUGUUCCCAGCCAAGCACCAGCUAGCUACUUGCUUCCUCUUUGAUCACAUAUGUCACCUCCAUCGCUGUGCGGCAUUUUCGCUUGAAAACCCUGUUGUUGCGCUCCCCCCAAAAUUUGCCAGAUUGUUAGCAUUUUUUAACGACCUUGUUGUCCAGACUCCUACUGCUACUGGUGCCCAAAUCUUCCUUACGAACUACGAAGGUGCAUUCCCAGAAGAGGUGAGCUGUGCUCUCAAGGUUUCUAAAGCACAACUGACAGAAGUACUGGUUUGGCCAUGUCCCCUUCUUAUUUGUAACAUUGCUGCUGUCGAAAUUCUGUCCUUCAGCAUUAACCAGGUGAAAAAUUUGCACUUUGGUGGUGCUUUAGCCUUCCAGAAGAAGAUCUCUGCAGCAGUGGCACUUCUUGUGGAUCCUUCAAUGGAUCCAAGUUAUUUUACCAUCCACUGUUUCUCUUAGCUGAGUAUCUUCAGUCAAGCACCAGAGCCUUACAAAUUAUUCUAUCAGUAAUUGUGUCAGGUCGUAGUCAAUGUCCUUGAUCCAUUUGCUGUCUGUGAGGGCAUCUGCUACAUAUAUGUUCUUUCUUCUGCUGUGGUUGGAAAGAGUUUCUAUGGAGCGACUAUAAUAAAAGAAAUCACAUAAACUGAAACACAACAGCACCAGUGGUCUAGUGGUAGAAUAGUACCCUGCCACGGUACAGACCCGGGUUCGAUUCCCGGCUGGUGCAAUAUUAUUUGUACUUUUUUUAUUUUCAUUUUUGUUACUCAACUUACCGACCUGAUACAUUUUCACUAACUCCUUUCGUAUGUUUUCUCAUGUGUUUGGAGCUGAAAGUAUGUUUUCUCAUGUGUUUGGAGCUGAAAGUAUGUUUUCUCAUGUGUUUGGAGCUGAAAGAUCCUCUCGGCCUACAAGGGGAGUUCAUUUCAGGAUAGAAAGGACAACCCAAGACAUGAACGAUCGCCUGAAACUUCAAAAACAUGAGAUAUCUUUAUUCAAUUCAAUUCCUUUUACAAGUAGCACAUUGUUUCAGUGACCAAUUGAGGUAGGUGUAUGAUCCAUUACUUUUGCUCAAAUUAUCUAAAGAUAUAAAAUGGUAGUGUAACGUGACACGGCUAUCAAGUCAGCAGCAAAAACUGGGUUCAGCAAGAUGCUCAAGGAUGGUUCUACAUCAAUCAAUCAGCAAAUACAAAGAUGGCGGCUCUACUGCUUUGCUAUGGGAAAUUCGUCUGCGCCAGCUGAGAGAGUGUAUAUCAGCAGAGUCCACAGGAGGAACAACUGCACAAGGCUGCAGUGCUUCUGCCUUCCCUGGAAAACCUUUUAGCAGGCGCAGGUGCCGUUAUGUACUCAAUGGAAUAAUUGUGUUAGGACCUGUGACACGAGAUAACUCAUGAGAUUCAACUCUAGAAACUACUCACGGUUUAACAUAAUGAUUUGCAGAAUAGAUAAAUAACUCACCUGUCAAGACGACUAGAAGAGGCUGCUAGUCAUCACCACACAGCUACUUUUAAAAUUAGGACAGCUACAAAAACUAAAAUUGCAGUGGAUCCCAUCUAUUUUGAAUUGGAGACCUUCAGUAGCUCAUGGAAUGCUUCCUGAGGAAUGUCGACAGAUCCCACACGUUUCAUGCGCUUUUUGCCUUCCUUUUGCUUCUCCAGCAAUUUCUUCUUCCGAGUAAUAUCACCACCAUAGCACUUGGCCAGAACAUUCUUCCUCAUUGCUGACAGGCUGAAAAUGGUGAAAGAGAGCAUAUAAGCGAAACUAUGUGACAGCAACAUAUUAUUCAACUCUUUACCUCUUAUAUCUACAAGGCUUUUCAGAUACAGUUAGUUAACCUGAUAAUGGACAAUGUAUUUAGUUAUUCAUACUGUGCCAACGAACAAUGCCACUAAAACUAGGACAGCUUCCUACAGGUUGAAACCUAAACCUUUCAGAUAUGCUGCAACUAGAUAGGGCAAGACUGGAGGUGAUUUCCCAAGGCUUUCUUUUUCUCAAACGCGUCAUUUCCCAUGGCUGAUUGGCAGUAAUUUUAUAUUAACUGAACAGGUAUAUCUUUUAGGCCAACAGAAAGCUUUAGCUGGAAAGUUUUUGAAACCCUUUCCACCUGUUGUAAUUAGUUGAUAGAAAUUUUGUUAGUUUUUUACAGAAAAUGCUCAAGACUACUGUCUUGAAUAUUCUAGAUGAAUGGAUAGCAUUGCUGUUGUAAAUUCAGUUAAAUGUAUAUAACAAUUUCAAAGCAGUUUGAUAUAAAGAAUCUUCAACCAAAUAACAAUGUCACAAUUGGUAGAAUAUACUUUAGAAAACUAAUAGCAGCUUCGAAGAUCUUACGUUUCCCUUGCAAUAACCUUUGAACCAAUUGCUGCUUGAAUGGUGAUCUCAAACAUUUGCCUGCAUGAAAAGAAUGAAAUAAGCCCUUAGCAAAAUUCUGCUCUAAGCCUUACAAAAUUCACUAAAAAAAACUGCUCUAAUAUUUUAUUCUCAUUUGUAAGUCCAUUCCCUUUGCAGCUAAUUACAAUUUUGUAGUGCAAUUAAUAUUGACCCAAAAGUAAUGUACUCAAAAAGAUGCUCAUAUCUCAAGCACAGUACACAUGUUCAAGAAAAGGAGGUUGAUGAAUACCUUUCUAUAAAUUUCUUGAGCUUCUCCACUAAUUCCUUUCCAACCCGCUGAGCCUUCUGGUUAUGCACUAUAGUUGCCAUAGCAUCAACAGGCUGACCAUUAAGAAGGAUGUCCAUCUUAACUAGAUCAGAUUGUUGGUAUCUGUCAAAGAGAAAAGGGGAAUAAAUUAAUGAUAAACUACAUAAAUUUCUGGUAUAUUUUUCUCCUCAUAUCAUCUAUUAUAAUUUGGAACAGAUUUUUGAAGCCAUUUAAAAAGUAAUUUUCACAAAAUUGAUGAUGGAUGCAUUACGUAAUAAGUCAAACAAUCCCAGAUCUGAUCAAAAGAAUGUUUCCAAAACCUUGUAUACACAAGACAACUGCUCUCUUUGUAUGUAAUCACUAGCGAAAAAGAAACUCCAUUCAGAAAGGUGUACUGACACCUUCAGAAUAUAAAGGACUGCAAAUAAAAAUAAUAAUACUGACAAAAGCAUACGAAGUGAAAUUUUUUUAUAAAAAAAAAACAUGAUAUUUUUCUCAUCCGUAAAUUCCAGGGGAAAAAAAGGUGUAGCCAGACCAUGCCUUGUUAUUGCAUUCACAACAGGACUUACUCAGAAUCUUCAUAGUCAAAAGUAGCAUAGCCAGACGUAAUGCCCUUCAACUCAUUGUAGAAGUCCACAAUGAUCUCCUUCAAUGGUAACUGGUACUUCAACAGAGCCCUUUGGCUGCAUAAAAAAUAGGCAUAUGAAUAAAAAGCAAAGAAUAGACGAGCACUUAACCAAACUGAGAGAUUUGGAAGCAAAAAAGAUUUACGCAUCAAUAAAUGUAUAUUCUAGCUGUUCGCCCCUUCUUUCUGAACAAAGCAUAAUGACAGGCCCAACAUACCUGAAAAGGUGAUUUGAGUAUGAUAACAAAUUUCUACUUGUAAUGCUCAAAUAUUGAAAAAAUAAAUGUAGAAAACAGGUGAGAAAGGAAGCAGGUCUUACUCACUAGGGAUAAUGAUUGUUGCAAUAACUGUGGGCUCCCAACAGGCUGCUACACGCUUUCCAGGAUUCGAAGCCAAAGCAGCAGGAUUCUCAACUUGCACCUUGCUGAUAAAAUAACCUAAAACUUUUAGUAUCCUACCAGAAAACCGAGGUAGCAAAUACAAUUGUGAGUGCACACCUUCCAUCACCAUAUUCAAAAAUAUAAGGUACGGUUGGUAUGGUCGAUAUGACUUGAGCUCCAUAUUCCUAAAUAAAUGCAGUGACAAUCAGAACCUCAAGGCAAUUUAAAGGCCACACAAAUUAUUUACACUACAUCACAUUUUAUAAGUUCCUCUUUUUUGUCAUCAUAUUCCAAUUUCCACCCCUUAUAUUUUCAAAUGAAUGGAAGAGUUUCUAGGCUGACACAGGUAAUCAAUGUACUUAAAAAUAGUCAAUUAUAUAGGACCGUUAACCUUAUGGAAAAAGAUAUUCUCUAGUUUUUUUCUGCAAAAAUAUUUCAUCCUUCUAAGUUCUAAAGGCAGCACCUCAAAGUUACAAAUUUCCUUGAGAUACUAGCAUAAUAAUUAGGAAUGAAGCUCUUUAAUUAACUUUUCAACAUUAAUUGAUGUAUUGUGUGUCCUGAGUAUAAAUUAUGCAACAGCAAAAAAUCAACAUAUCAAAUUUAUGCGAAAAAAAUAUACUUGUUCAAGCCGUUGAUGGAACACAUCCAUGUGUAGCAAUCCUAGGAAGCCACAUCUGUAAAGCAGUCAUAGAAAAAGUUCAAAAACAGAUUACAGCAAAUUCCACACUCAGUGUAAUGAAAACAACAGAAACGAACUAGUUAACGUGUAGAAAAUCUGGUACGGUGGUACCUGAAUCCCAUGCCAAGUGCAUUGCUUGUCUCCUUUGUAAUAGAGACACUGGCAUCAUUACAUGUUAGUUUCUCGAUCGCAUGGCUAAGAGCUUCAAAGUCAGAACCAUCAGCAGGAUAGAGACCAGAGAAGACCAUGUGUUUCGCAGGCUUGAAACCUGAAAGGCUAUUCUGUAUGAUGUCGCAUGCAACCAAAAAUGAAAGGAAAGGGAUAUGAAACAAUGCUAUGGGACUGCAAUAGAUCAUGCGUAUUCUUUUCAGGCUAAAUCAUACAGAAUGAAAAGUGAGAAACGGAGACAAGGCCAUAAGAAUGUUUCGAGAUUGGAUUCCAUACCAGGAAGUGGCUCGACGGUACUCUUUGCCUGGUGAAGGGUAUCACCAAUGCGUGCUUCUUUAGUUGAACGCAUUCCACUAAUAACAUAUCCAACUUGUCCAGUGUAGAGAACUCCAGUAGGUUUAAGCUCAGGGUGCAUAAUGCCGACAUCAAGAACUUCAUAUGCACGACCAGUUGCAGCUGACGCAAUCUUAUCACCUUUACGCAGAGCACCAUCAACAAUAGCAACAUGGCAAAUCACGCCUUUGUAUUCAUCAUAGUAGGAAUCCAAAAGCAACAUCCGUACAGGUGCAUCACAUUUCCCAGGUGGGGAAGGUAUGCGUUCAAUAACAGCAGGCAAUACCUGCUCAAGGCCUUGACCAGUCUUGGCAGAAGUAAGCAGAGCUUCACUUGGAUCAAUGUCAAACAACCUCUUCAAUUGAUCCUUUACAUUAUCUGGGUCAGCAGUCGGCUGAUCAAUCUUGUUAAUCACAGGAAUGAUACUCAAAUUUGAUUCAAAGGCAAGGUAAAAGUUUGCUAUUGUUUGAGCUUGUACUCCUUGUGCUGCGUCAACUACUAAAAGAGCACCCUGGCAAGCUGCAAGGGACCUGGAUACCUCAUAGCUGAAAUCCACAUGGCCUGGCGUAUCAAUCAGAUUAAGCAAAUAUUUUGGCGUAUCUGAGUCCUGAGAUGCACUAACGUGCCUAUAGAACAUUGUUGCUGUUUGUGCUUUGACCGUAAUCCCCCUUUCUCUCUCAACCUGGCCCCCACAUAGAUAAAUGUUACAACAGAAGACACACAAUAUGAAACUAGACAUCAAGGACUGAUCCAAUAUCAAAGCAGUUUUCUGAAAGUAAUGCCCAAAUCAGAGUAUAAGGAAAAGGGAGUUGAGGUUGUGAAAAUAUACACUCUUCAUUAAAUGUAGUUGAAUCACAUAAUAUUACAACCGAAAAAGUUGUACUACCUCAAAUUCUGAGAGUUAAAAAGAUGAAUCCAGCAACUCUAUUUGCAUUCUUUGGAACAAAAAAAUAGACGAUUCAUUUUUGGGAUCUGAUAACCCUAAGAUGACCUGGCAUGCUAAAAAUGGCUUCUCAUACUGAUAACUGUUAUACUCCCUCAGAUCACAAAUACUUGACACAUUUGACUUUGCAUGGUAUCUUUGACCACUAAUUUCUCCUAGAAUAUAUUCUUCAAAUCCUUCAAUAUAAGAGUAUUUUGAAAACAAGUUGAACAAAUCUUGUCAAAUGUAUAAGACAUUUGGCAUUUAACUUGCACGCUUCUAAACUAAUAAUGUAAUAGUAAUUGAUGUUUGUAGUUUUAAAGAUUUGACCAAUCUUGUCCUAAACAACAAGUUUUUGCGACCGGGAGUAGUAAGAGUUUAUACUGUUGGUAAGAUAGUAACUACAAGAUACAAAGUCACAAAAUGUGGACAGGAAUUGUAAAAGUUUCAGUCAUGAAGCUAGUAGCAGUAUAGGCAUCAACUGAUAUGGAAUUAGUGUAACAUUGUACCCACAAAUAGACCUUGACACUUACUGGCAGUGCAAUGGUAAAAUCUCAAAAGGCCAAAAUGUAACAACUAUUUAUAAACCUAAUGCAGACAUCAAUGCAGUUCAAGAAUCUGAUCAUGAAAACAGUAUGGAAAUGGUGGCCUGACUGACUGAUCACCUCUCACUAUCUGAUAGUUGAGCGGUAAAGGGUCAACAUUUUACUUAUUAUUUCUCUAACUUAUCGAACAAGGAGAGUGAGCGGGAAGAAUUAGCGUCGCACUUGCAGCUUGUCGAGGUACUGGGGCUGCCCAUGGCCCUUCUGGAUGGUACCGGUGAGCUCCAGCAGCCGAUCAGCCAGCGUCGACUUGCCGUGGUCGACGUGCGCGAUGAUCGAGAAGUUCCGGACCCGCUCCGGCGGGUACAGCGCCAGCUCAGACCCGGAAACCGCGCCGCGCGCGCCGUGCUCCGGCGACGACUGCGACGACAGGAGGCGCUUGGGCUGCUGGAGCACACUGCGGGAGAACGCAGGGGCGGCGGCGAGGUGCCGGUAAAUACGGCGAGCGGAACGCCGGAGCACGGCGGCGCCGGCCAUUCCGAGCCGCGGGAGGGACCGGCCGGCGGCGGGAGCUAGGGUUCUGGCAGGGAUUUGGCUGGAGAGGCCGAUUGGUGGCGGGGAACCGGUCUAUGGGUGUGUGGCUGACGUGGCAAUUUGGUUCCAUAAUUAAUUGCAAAAGUCAGUUUGAUGUUUUUUCCGGGCUCUGCGUGCGCGCGAGGCGCGACCAAACAGAAUUAAAAGUUAGGCCUCGUUUGCUACCGUAGCAUUUUUACUAUAUAGAUUUAAAAGAUUUGUCUUCCAAAUUACAGAUAAACUGUAUAAUUAAUUUUUUUAUUUUAUUUAUAUUUAGUAUUUUAUGCACUUAAUGCAAGAUUUAAUGUGACAGAGAAUUUUUUUAAAAAAAAUUGAAACGUAGAGCAUCUCCAACAACUUGGUAUUUCAACAUGCUAUCCUACCAAAUUUGCUAAAAGCAUAAAAAUCCUCCUCCAACAACUCCUUAUCUCAACUUGCUAAAUUUCCCAAGUUGCUAUCCAGUGCCGAGAUUUGUCAACUUGCUAUCCCAAGUUGCUAUCCCGAGCGCAACUUGUUGGAGACACAUAUUCUUUUACCAAGUGAGCGGGUCCCAUCUGUCAUCCUCUAUUUUUACCAAGUGAGAAUAGCAACUUAUUGGAGACAUAUCUUUUUUUUCUUUUGCUAAACAAAUUAGCAACUUGCUAUAACUCAAGAUUUGACAAGUGAAUUUUACCAAGUUGUUGGAGAUGCUCUAAACAAGGCCUUCUAGGUUUUGGCUGAAAAAACAAAAACUAGUAAAAAGCUAAACAAUUUUCUGAGCAAAGGCACAAAAUCAAACAGCAAAGGCUAAACACUGGACCUUUUAAAAGACAAUUCAUCGGCAUUUUUCAAAUAGAUUUAUUAUCAAAAUAUAUUUUAUAAUUAAUCUAGUAAUAUUUGUUAUAUAUUAUAAAUAUUUAAUCAAAUUUGAGAUUGUUUGACUCCUUAGAAAAAAAGAUUUAUAGUUUUUAAUGAAGGGAGUAUUUGCUAGCAUCAUUUAGCAAGUAAAAACUUUUAGAGUAUUGGUGGUGGCGGAGCUUGAGCGAAAUCUCUUUUAAAGACUCAAGGGUAAAUUGGAGGGACCACUAACCACGCCCCAAAUGAUAUUAGCCAUGAUAUGCUAUAUGGUGAUUAAGAUCUUUUGAGAAGCUAGGGGUUAUGGCCUAGUUUAGUCUAUUAGGCAUAGCUUGUUGUUGCUGCUGUUCAUUUCAUAACUACCAACCAUUGUCGCAUCAAUAGCUAAUAGUGUAGCUAUCUAGAAAAUAACCCCCAUUUCAAAUUAUAAUAUAAGAUUUAGAUAUACAUAUCUAGAUACAUAGUAAAGUUUGGAGCGGAUGGAGUAAAAGCGAACACGACCUUUUUCGUGUGAGGAUUGAUGGUAGCCAUCUUAGUGUCUCACAGUCAAUUUGGUGUAGUCUCAACUACUAACACAUUAGAAAUACAUAUAAUAAAAUUCCUUUUGUAUGUUUAUGUGAUGUCAACUGCUAGCACAACUAGAAAACACAUAUAAACCCCUAUGUGUGUUCAUGUCAUGCCAAACUCUCACCCUCUCACCCUUUUAGGCCUAAGAUUCUCUCUAAAACUAUGAUAUGGAGUCUUGACCAACUACAACUAUGAUUAGUUUGUUCACUUCUAUUAUUUUUAUGGUUGUUGUUGAUAUACAUCUAUACAAGACUGUUCUCAGUGUUGUUGUAGUAGCAGCUCUAGCUAGCCAUUCCAAACAAGGAGCAUCUCCAACAACUUUGUAAAUUUCACUUUGUAUAUCUUGAGUUUUAGCAACUUGGUAAAUUAUUUACCAAGUGGAAAAUAGAGCCAUCUCCAACAACUCCCUAUUCUAACUUUGUAAACCAAAAAAGAAGGCCCACAUCCAUCUCAAGCCCACCGAUCCAACUAGCUACGUACCGCGUCUCAUCGACUACCUCACCGCGGGGUCCUCCCUCCCUCCUCCUCGUGUCGUGCGCGACGGUCGAGUGCCUCAUCCAUCUCGGUCCGCCGCCGUGGCUUCUCCUCGAGUCUUCCCUCUUCCGACGUGUGUAGAAGAUGUGAAGCAGUGCCCAAACGAGAAUAGAAGAAGGGAAGAAGCAGCGUCGGUGACAAAGGUCCAGCAAGGCGGCAAUCUCCUCCCAGCAGGGACGGGGAGGAGAGACACCGGCUACGGCAUGGGAAGGGGAUGAGACGGUCUCGACGAGGAAGAAGAAGUGUCAGCGGCGGCCGGGGCUUUAUUCACGCGCGAAGGGAAUUGGGAUCGAUCCGGAGACGACGCAGGAAGACUGCUUGGCGCGCGCGGGAGAGGGAAAAAGUCCAAGGGGGGAGGACUCGCGGCCGAUACAAAGUGCGGAAAGAUACGCGCGCGCGUGGGACACUUUUACAAAGUUUGGAAAAAUACAAAGUUAGUUUACAAAGUUGUUGGAGAGCUCUGUUUUUAUUUUUGCCAAAAUAAUAAGAAUACAAAGUUAGUCUACAAAGUUGUUGGAGAUGCUCAAAUGUAUCAGAAGAGGGUGUUCUGGUGCAAAUUUAAACGGUUCUCACAAUAUGUUGUUUUGUUGUGUAGAAGUGCUAUGACAUAGAGACUUGACAAUUGGAGCUAAAACAUAUAUUUGAAAGAUGGAAGUGCUGUGUAAAUUGUCAUGAAGAAAUUAUUGUUUGCAUCUGUAUUAUUGGUCUACUACGCAAGUUUUACCCAUGUGUAUUAGCAUGGUAGUGGCUUGUUUGAAAAUUCGUUCUUUUAAUUUCGAUUGCGAAAGAAAGAUGCCUUUGUAGGCCAUAACAUGGACAUAAUUGCAAAAAGACCACAAAUCCACACAGUUAAUACUUAGUUUAGUUCGGAAAAAAUUUUGAAUUUUGGUACUGUAGUAUUUUCGUUUGUUUGUGUCAAACAUUGUCCAAUCAUAAACUAACUAGGCUCAAAAGAUUCGUCUCGUAAAUUACAGACAAACUGUGCAAUUAGUUUCUGUUUUCUUCUAUAUUUAGUGCUUCAUGCAUGUGCCACAAGAUUUGAUGUACCGGAGGAUCUUGAAAUGUUUUUGAAUUUCGGGGUGAACUAAACAAGGCCUUAAUAGAGUGUUUGGAUUUCUUUUGAACCAAGGACAAAGAACAUGGUAAUACAUUCACACUAUACUAAGCCUCUUUUUGGUAUAUAUAAUUUCUAGUUUUUUCUCUAUAUAAAUGUUUUUUAAACAUUUCUCCAGUAUCUCUAUGUCUGAUUUAUUAUUGUCUCUCAUGCAACAUACAAUUUUUCCCAUUGACUGGCUAUAGAAAAAAAUAUGAAUUGUUCUUUUAGAUGUACUAGUUGAUUAUGUAAGGUUGUUGUCUAAAAAUUUCUAAAUAGCUACUCCUUGUUCAAAUGGAUAAAAUUAUACAAUCGUUUCACUAGUUGGUCUAGUUGAAGAGCCUAAACUAGAGAGGAGAUAUAACUCUUACUGAGAAGCCAAACUAAAGUUAUCAUGUACACAUGGUAUUAGCAAAAAAGAAAAAAAAUAUAUGUUCACCUACUGAUUUGUUGCACGGAUUAGAAGUCUGACUACUCCCUCACAUAAAAAAUACUCUCUAUCCGUGUCAAAAAGUAUGCAAAUAUAUGGGUUUAAACAAAAGUCAAAACUAACAUAACUUAAGUUUAUAUAUUAAUAUUUAUUUCUAUAACUAGGUUUGCUAUGAAUAUAUAUUUCAUAUUAAGUCAAUAAUACUUAUUUUGCAUCACGGAUAUUUCUUAUUAUUUUGGUCAAACUUUAACUCGUUAUGUCUUCUAUGAACAGGAAGUAUUAUAUUUCUGGCUCUAUGAACAUUUACAACUUGGACUAUAAUUGUUUAUAAUAAGAAGAUAAAGUUAUGAUGCCUAAUGAAUGAAUGUUACUCCAGACAAACAAAUUAUUGUCAAAAAAAUUAUUUUUUCUAUCCUUAUGCCAAAAAAAAAAAGUUAAAAAUUUCUACCAUGAUUUCUGCCGAAGUGUUAGCGCCGCCACAGCAUCCCCUUUUCUCUGUGUCAAUGGGAAGGAUCGAAUCCCCAAUCAAACAUUCAUGCUGUCAACACCAUCGUUCAUCACCAACCACUCUUACCAUCUCAAGCCAUCCCAAAUGCUCGGCAUGUGUGUCAACUGCCAGAAGCCACGCAUGCGUCCAUGUCCAUCCAUCCAUGCACACGCAAAGGGCAACUCUCAUGUCCAUCCAGCUGCUCGCUCGCCUGCCGGGGACGCCCGCCAAACCCGGCGAGCGUCUGCGCGCAGCAGCCGCGCGCGGAUCACGGCGAGACGCACGUCCGCCUCCCCCACCGCGCGCUAUAAGACCCCGCCGAGGACCGACGACCACAAGCGCUCCACUGCGCCGGCCGGCUCCCUCUCCGGCAGGGCUCAGGCAGCAUCCUUUGGAAGAAGAAGUACCUCUUCUCCCUGAGGCCUGAGCCCCUCCCCGCGGCGAGCCAACAAGCCGGCGCACGUCGCCACCCGGGGCUCACGCUCACCACCGAUCGAGCCCCAACCCAUUUAAUAACUAUAUAGAGCAGCUAGCUAGGAUCGAUCAUUAGAAAUGGCGGUCACCGCCGUCGUGACGAGGAGACCCCUGUCCAUCCUCUUCUACAUCAUCCUCGCCGCCGUGGCUGCCACCACCGCCGCCGCCGCGGAGACGCCGACGGACGCCGCCAUCGACGCGGCGUACGCGCAGCUCGUCAACGUCACCGCCAACCAGGAGUACUGGGCGGAGCGCGCCGAGGUGGCGCACGCGUACAACCGCGCGGCGUACGAGAGCGACCCCGUGGGCGUGAUGGAUCGCUUCAACGACGGCGUGCGCAGGGCCAUGGAGACGUCGACGCCGACGCGGUCCCGGUCCCGGUCCCUGGCGCACAAGGCACGGGGUGGCCCCUGCACGGCGACCAACCCGAUCGACCAGUGCUGGCGUUGCCGCGGCGACUGGGCGCGCAACCGCAAGCGGCUCGCCAGGUGCGGCAUGGGCUUCGGCCACCGGACCACCGGCGGGCUCGCCGGCAGGAUCUACGUGGUGACCGACCCCAGCGACGAGCCCGCCAACCUCGUCGUCCCCAGGAAAGGCACGCUCCGGUACGCCGUGAUCCAGGACCGCCCGCUGUGGAUCACGUUCGCGCGCGACAUGGUGAUCAACCUCUGCAGGGAGCUGCUGGUGACCAGCGACAAGACCAUCGACGGGCGCGGCGCGCAGGUGCACGUCGUGGGCGCGCAGAUCACGCUGCAGAACGUGCGGAACGUGAUCCUCCACAACCUCCACAUCCACGACGCCGCCCCGCGCGGCGGCGGCGUGAUCAGGGACUCGAAGCACCACUGGGGCCUCCGCGGGGAGAGCGACGGCGACGGGGUCUCCGUGAUGGGGUCCAGCGACAUCUGGAUCGACCACGUGUCGAUGCGGAGCUGCGCCGACGGGCUGGUGGACGUGGUGGACGGCUCCACCGCCGUGACCAUCUCCAACGGCCACUUCACCAGGCACGACCACGUGAUGCUGUUCGGUGCCAGCGACGCCGCCGUCAAGGACAAGGCGAUGCAGGUCACCGUGGCGUUCAACCACUUCGGAAAGGGGCUGGUGCAGCGGAUGCCGCGCUGCCGCCAUGGCUUCUUCCACGUGGUGAACAACGACUACACGCACUGGCUCAUGUACGCCAUCGGCGGCAGCCAGAACCCUACCAUCAUCAGCCAGGGGAACCGGUUCCGCGCCGUCGACGACGGGAGGUUCAAGGAGGUGACCAAGAGGGAGUACACGCCGUACAGCGAGUACAAGGACUGGGUGUGGAAGUCGCAGGACGACCUGUUCCUCAAUGGGGCCUUCUUCAACCAGUCCGGCGGCGAGAACGAGCGCCGGUUCGACAGGCUCGACCUCAUCCAGGCCAAGGGCGGACAGUACGCCGAGUUGCUCACGAGGUACGCCGGCGCGCUCAACUGCCGCGUCGGCAAGAAGUGCUAGGCCGGCCGGGGGUGGCCAUGUGUGUGCAUGCUAGAUUAUUAUUGCUUUGAUUUGGGGGAUCGGGGCGGGCGAUCGAUGCUUCGAUGCAGGCGCAGGGAGAGGCGUAAGAAUCGAAUUAAUGCAAAAGGUUGUGUUGUGUAUAAACUCUUGUAUUUGGAAAAUACCAUCUGUAAAUGGUCGUCAACGUACUAUAUACUGCUUGCCUGCUAGCGACAUAAUCGUCCAUGUGGAAAGGAUGAUGGUCGUCAACUAUCCCUUCCUGAUUGCAUGGAUCGGCAACAACAAUGGCAAUUCCAUCAUGUUGAUUAGAUUGAUUUCCUAAUCACGGCUGCCGUCGCCACCAACAGGGAGUUCGCCGCCAAAAGACCCCAUGCCGCUCCCUCAUGCUCCCCGUUGUCAUGCAUGUGCUGCCAUAGGGCGUCCGAUCUCCUGGCUCUACCGGUUCUCACCGCCGGUGCAACUACAACUACCACUCGCUUCCAUUUUUGCCGAGCGAGGAGGAGGCGAUGUGGCAUAGCGCGGCACUAAUUAAAGAGCAGACAAGAAUGAGAUGCCACACCCACACUCUAGCUUUUAGCGCAUCUUCCUCCACCGUACCCCUGCAUUUGGUGCGAUGUCGUCCACCCCGGCCUGCGGUAUAGCCCUCAUCGAUCGACACCCUUCUUCAGGACCAUCGUCGACUCCGGCAUCGAAGCCAUCAUCCGAGACCGAUUCCACGAAUCGCGACCCCAGCGUACGUUCUACCUGCUGAAUUUCAGGAAGCCCUCGUCGACGACCUUGGCAGUAUGCACACCCUCUUCGCCGCCGGCGUUCGGCAGGACUGCCUUCACCGCCUUCGCGCCUUUCAGGUAACAGUGCAACACCUUCCCCAUUACCGUUCGGCCUGCUUCUUGCUAGGUGGAGGGAGCGUGUGCAAAUCACCAGCAAGAUGACCUCCGAUCGAUCCGUUGUUGUGGCGCCGUUGCCACUAUCGGCGUUCGAUCAUGACAUCUAGAUAUGCAACCGUGGAAUCACACUCCGAUUCGACUUGAAUGUCGAGGAGGAGAUGCUGCACGAAUGUGCUGCUAGCCUGCUAAAUUCAGGCCAUCUGCACAAGGAGGACCCUGUGGUAACCACCGUUUUGCUUCCAGACUGAUAUUUCUUCUCGUUAAUCUUGUUAUAUUCUUUUUUGUGGCGCACUACAUUUGGGUCGAUGAAUUUUGGUUGAUGUGUUUUCUUUCGUUUUUGAUCUAGGCAGCAUCUGUAGUUCAGUUUUCAGUGUGACUAAGGCUGGACGAAAAACUCGAAGCUCGUUAGCUCAACGAGUCCAAGAUUUUAGCUCAUUAGCUAUAACGAGCCAACUCGAGCCAGCUCGUAGAGCCGCUCGUGAACCAAACGAGCUACAGUGUACCAGAGAAAAAAAUCAUCAUAACUUAUAUUAGUUUUGUAUUACUUCAUGUCUUACACUUUUUAAAUGAUUGAUAUGUCAGCUCAUAUAAAUAUUUUAUUGGACUUAAGAUUAUUGGAUAUAUUAUUAUUGUACUAUUAUUAUUUUUAAGUUUUAGAUAAAUACAAAUAUUAUAUUUUAUGUAUUUUUUAUAUCUGGUCCGCGAGCUUAACGAGCCAGCUCGAGCUUUUAACGAGCCGAGUUGAGCUAACUUUUCUGACUCGUUAAGAUAACGAGCCGAGCCGAGCUAGCUUGUUAUCCUAACGAGCCAGAACGAGCCGAGCCGAGCUGGCACGUUAUCCAGUCUUGUGACGGAAACUUCCAAAACAUUGAAGCCUGUUGCUGCAGAUGUAAAACUUGUACAAUUUAUGUAACUAAUUUGCUAGCUUGUGUUUGUUGCAAUUUCCUCUGACAAAAUUCAAUUUUAUGUGAUUUUGGUGUUAUCUCAAACAACUAAAAAGAGUAAAAGGUGUGAGGUCGUCCUCAAACUAAGAGUAAAAGGUGUGAGGUCGUCCUCAAACUGGCCUCCACGCGAUCCGGCAGCGUCGUCCGAUGUGAGGUCGUCCUCAAGCCAGCCUCCAUAGCCACGACCACCACGCCGGACGCGGGGAGGCUCACGAGGCGAAGCAAAGGGGACAUGACGCCCAAGAGGCGCGAGUCAAGUCAGUGCACCAGGUUGAGAUCUUAUUUGAAUGUUGUCGGAUUCAUUUUAAAUUUAGUUCAAGUUUCACUCCAAUCGAUCUCAAUAUACGUGGAAUCCGACUACAAGUGUGGCCGUGUCGUGUCGAAUCCCGUUGGCGGCUGCUAGGUACGGCAGCCGGCGUCCGGGCAUUGAAAUUUUGGUGUGUGCUUCUAUCUUGCUCCAGGGACAGUGGCACAGCGGCGGAGGCGGCGGCGAUUUGGCUGCGGCACCUGCAUGUUAUUAGUUCUUGUUCAGUUGGUAAAAUUUUUGAAUUUUAGUUAUUGUAGUAUUUUCGUUUGUAUUUAAUAAUUAUUGUACAAUUAUAGACUAAGCUCAAAAAAUUUAUUUCGCAAAUUAUAGAUAAAUUGGAUCUUAAAUUUUUCAAGUAAACAAGGCCUUACUACCUAACGAUCCAUACAUGAUUGAAAUAAAUCCUUUGUCCACGUAGCAAUCAUAUUAGCCAUGGAUACUCCGCUCCCUUCUGGAGCUCUGGUUCAUGGAUCCAAACAUAUCUUAGAGCAUGUUAAGAUUAGGUAAAAAUAUAUUCUAAACUAUAAGAUUUAGCUAUUAUAUAAAAUAAAAAUUCACUUAAAGCAUAAAGUUCUACAAUAGCUUUUGUAUAUGAUAGCUAAUGAGAACGACAUGUUAUAUAUGACAAGUGAAAGUUUAAGAAUAGCAAACUUGUUAUUUUAGCAAACCAGAUAGCAUACCUGUUAUCCUUUAAUUUUUGCUUUAAAAUGUAAAAAUAACCCAGAUAACAUGGAUAGUAUAUCUGUUGGAGUUGCUCUAAUGGCAAUAUUUUUCUAAACGCUAAAUGGUAAACAAUCGGUUACCUGUUGUUUAGCUAUUAUUCGGUAAACAGUCCUUAAACCGACUAAACGGUCAAUUAAACAAGCUAAAUGGAUGAUUAAACGAAAACAGUGUACCACGGUGUAGCGUUUACACGAUUUAAACGGCCGUUUAGGCGAGCAGUGGUCUUAGAUUGUCUCCAACAGGAGACCCAUUUAGCAAAUUCAAAAUAGGUUUCCAACAUAAUAUAUAUAGCCUCCAACAGAGUACCCAUACUCAAAACCUAUAUUGAGUAUCAGGAGAGCCAUAACCCAAAUUUAAAUAUUCUCUCUCCUCGAAACCUAUUUUUGUAGAGAGUGUUGUUUUUUUAGUAUUGUUGUUGAAGAAAACUAAAAAUAGACAUGAAACCUUUCACCUGUAACGAUACCCAAAUGAUAAAUGAGUCUUGUAUUUUGGGUGAUGAUCGUUAAAGAUAGUCUUAGUCCUUUCGGUUUGAGUCAGUAUUUUGAGCUAUGACUUAUCAGCCAAACGAACAAUAGAGCAAUCGUACGCAUGCUGUUUGUCUCAGCUGAAUCAAUGCAAUGCAUAUAAUAUGGCAAGAGAAAUUCAGUCCCUCGAUGACUAGAACAGAUACGUUGAUAUAACUGAUAUGUAGCAGAUAAACAAAUUGUUUGUUUGUUUCAUGCUUGCUUCCCUUUUCGAUCAAGCUGAAAUGUCUUUUUAUGCGGAUUCCUUUCUAAAGUGCUAAGGCGUCGUAUACUGUCUUCAGUAACUUAUCAUUGUUUAUGGAAUAGGAAUAAUGGUAGUCCAUAGUCUUUAUUUGCCAUUGAAAUCUCAGAGUAAUAAUAAAAAAGAAUUAGGAGUAAUGUGUGGAAUAGUCUUAAAGUUAUAUUUAUUUAUACGGUAAAUAUAACAUACUUUACUAUAAAGGUUUUAUGAGAAAUUUUUUAAGACACACAACCAAUGUGACAAGUACUAAUAUAUAUAUAUAUACUCAAACCUAUUUACAAGAUGGUACAACGAUAGAGCAAAACUUACUCGUGGAUUUAUAGGUGCACGAAAAAAAUGGAUAUCCGAGAUUUCUUUUUGUCAUUUUUUUUUCGCGAUCGAGCCAUUCACUCGUUUUUUCUUUCUGCCGAUAUAAAACAUUAUCUUAGCCGCAUUACAAAAAUAUCUAUACAGUAGAGUUUCUUCAUGCUUGUGUUAAUUUUACGAACUUUGGUUUUUUAUUAAGUGUAUUUAAUUUCACAACAUUCUUAUCUUAUGUGUGAUCCAUAUGUUUUUAAUAUAAAAGUUUAGUUGUCCCGUAACAAUGUACAUACAUGAAUCUUUUUUUUUUGAAUUUACAUACAUGAAUCUAGUAAUAUACAUAUACACACAUGCCCAUCCAAUGCAAAUCCUAUAUAGCAUCGGAGUAUGGUUUGGCUUCUCUUCUGUGCCGCCCUCCCCUCGAUCCCGACCCACAGCACAAACAAACGUACGUGUUCGAACAAGUUAAAGGCCGGACGCGCGUGCAUGCGCGCCGGCCGGCUAGCACGGCUGGCCGACGAUGCACUUGAGUGGUCCGGCGAAGCGCGUGAGCUGGCCGACGUAGCGGCCGUGCUUGGCCGGGAUGAAGUCGAGCUCGUCGUACUUGCGCUCGUUCUGCCCGCCGGACUCGUUGAAGAAGGCGCCGUUCAUCAUGACGUCUCCCUGCGACUUCCACACCCACUCCUUGUAGUCCUUGUACGCCGUGUACUCCCUCUUGGUCACCUCCUUGGCGUUGGGAUCGUCGGGGGCGAUGAACCGGUUCCCCUGGCUGAUGAUGGUGGGGUUCUUGUUCCCGCCGAUGGCGUACAUGAUCCAGUGCGUGUAGUCGUUGUUCACCACGUGGAAGAACCCGUACCGGCACCGCGGCAUCCGCUGCACCAGCCCUCUGCCGAAGUGGUUGAACGCCACCGUGAUCUGCAUCACCUCGUCCUGCGGGUUGUCGUUGCUGGCGCCGAACAGCAUCACGUGGUCGUGGUGCGUGAAGUGGCUGUUGGACACCGUGAUCGCCGUCGACCCGUUCACCACGUCGAUGAGCCCGUCGGCGCACCUCGACAUGGAGACGUGGUCGAUCCACACGUUGCUGGACGACAGCACGGAGAUGCCGUCGCCGUCGCUCCGCGUGCGCAUCCCCGUGUGCCGCUUCGAGUCCCGGAUCAUGCCGCCGGAGUGCGCCACGGCGUCGUGGAUGUGGAGGUUGUGGAGGAUCACGUCGUGCACGCUCUGCAGCGUCACCUGCGCGCCCACGACGUGCACCUGCGCGCCGCGCCCGUCGAUGGUCUUGUCGCUGGUCACGAUCAGCUCCUGCCGCAGCCGGAUCACCAUGUCGCGCGCGAACACGAUCCACAGCGGCCGGUCCUGGAUCACGGCGUGCCGGAGCGUGCCCUUCCGCGGGACGAUCAUCUCGUCGUCGCUCGGGUCGGUCACCACGUACAGCUUGCCGGCCGCGCCGCCGGUGGUCCUGUGCCCGAACCCGCGCGCGCACCGCGCAAGGCGCUUCCGGUCCGCCGCCCAGUCGGAGCGGCAGCGCCAGCACCGGUCGAUGGGGUUGGUCGCCAUGCACGGCCCGCUGUACCUCGCCAGGGCGCGCCGCGUCGUCGCCCUCAGCACGUCGGCGUUGAAGCGGUUCAUGGCCGCCACGGGGUCGCUCACGUAGGCGGCGCGGUUGCGGGACCGGGCCGCCUCGGCGCGCUCCGCCCAGUAAACCUCGUCGGAGGUGACGUUGUUAUUAUUACUACUGGAUGCCUGCGCCGCGGCGGCGAGGACGACGGCGCAGAAGAGAACGGACAGGUGGUGGCGGCGGCGGCUCCUUAGUAUUACGGCCGCCAUCGUCGACAUUGUGUGCGUGGCCGGCCGCCGGCCGGUGCCUCACGCCGCGGGAAAGGGCUCAGAGAUGUAUGUGUGGGGUGGAAGGAUUCUGAGCCCUCCCCGGCCGGUGAGCGUGCGGGGCGGCGUGCGUCACCUCUGGACGCAGGAGCGAGCGAGGUGCGCACGGUGCGGUGUGCGGUGGUGGCCCGGCGCAGGUAUAUAUACCGUACCGCGACCCCCAUGGGCCUUGGCUGGACGUCGCUGCCGCCCUGUUUUGGAGACGGAGGCGCGAGGACGAAGGCUGGCCGCUGGUUGUGUUUGGUGCAGCAGGCAUAAGCUGUUUUGAGGCUUCUGGCUGCCAAGCAGGAAGAAACGACACCUAGGUUGGCUCUGGCUGUCUUUCCAGGUAAUCAAAAGGCAAAAUCUCGGCCGUUGGAACGUGGGUAAAUUGCUAGUUUUCAUGUGACGGGAAAGUACGUAGAAUAAUUCAUCUCAGUUCAGUAUGUAGUGCUAACACUGUCAUCGCCGUGGAGAUUCGUGCACUUAAUUGGUAAGCGGCAGGAGUACUACCAAAGUUUAAAAAUAGUGAGGUAAGAGCAACUCCAAUCCAGGCCUCUACUUGAAUCCUUACUCUAAAUUUGAGGAGUUUUAACAAAAACUCAACUCCAAUGGAGUCCCUACUUAAACCCUCAUUUUACAAGUCCCUCCAAAUUUUAGUUUAAACCCCCCAAAUCUAGCAGCCCCCUACUCAUCCCACUUUUCCCCCUCCCCACCCCACCCCGCACGCCGUAGCGCACGGCGGAGCCGUCACCACGCCGGAGCUACAGCUGGAGACAGUGUCGGGGCCGGGAACGACGGCGCGCGGUCGAGGUCCGCGGCCAUGAGCUGGUGGAGGCGGCGGUCGGCGUGCGCGACGCCCGCGGCGGGCACGGCAGCCACGGCACCCGGGGCCUCGCCGUCGCCGCGGAGGAGGUGGCCGAGGCGAGCGAGGAUGCGCCUGCGGAGACGGCGAAUGUCCCGGUGCAGCGCCUCGAACACCCCCUGCUGCUUGACCUCCGCCCUGUAAGGGCGGUGCUGCGGCCCCGCGGCGAGCUUGGAGAUGACGUUCAUGUCCGGCGGCGAGUAGACGCGGCGGUCGCGCGCGAUGAGGCUGAAGGGAGGGAACCACCGCUGGGUGUUCCACCAGUAGACGAGCCACGGCGCGUGUCGCGCCACGCUGACCACCCACCGGUCCUGCGCCAGCUGCGCAGCGAAUGCUCGGCUGGACACGCUGCCGGGGAAGCCGCGCCACCAGAAGUUGGCGAGGGGCGAAACCAGCACGGCACCGGCGAGCCUGUGCGGGAUGUGGGCGAGGCAGCUCCACACGAUCUGCCCGCCCCUCGAGAAGCCGACGACGUGGAACCUGUCGCCGAGGCCGAGCCACCUCCUCCGCGGCGACGGCAAGGCCCCGGGUGCCGUGGCUGCCAUGCCUGUCGCGGGCGUCGCGCACGCCGAGCGCCGCCUCCACCAGCUCAUGGCCGCGGACCUCGACCGCGCGCCGUCGUUCCCAGCGCCAGCAGGCUCCAGCUUCUCCAGGAAGUCGGCAAUGCAGCGUACGGUGGUGGCGACAGGAGCAGGCGGGGCGAUGGCGUUGGCGUUGGCGUCGGUGCGACCGUGGUGCUCCAUGGGAAAGGAUAGGGUGUUGGGCUGGAGUUGGAUGUUAUUUUGGGUUCUUAUUGUUUUUAGUUCAGCCUCUAAAUAGAGUUUUUAGGGGCCUAAUUUGAGGACUUGGGCUGGAGUUGCUCUAAGACGUUCAGUGAUCACCCUUCUCAGACAUCUAAUUGUAGGCUAAAUCAGGCUGUAGCGGCUAAUAGCACUAAAUUGUACAUAUGACUAAAUAGCUUUACGCCUUUACUACCCUCUACAAGAAGCUAUAGCAGAGAUUUAGAACCAUGAGCACUAUUUGUUCUUCUCCAAUGGGACAACAGUUUCAUCUUCACCAAUGAUGAUUAUUCGUUUGGCUGAUAAGUCAUGACAGAAAGUACUGUUAGCUAAUUUAUUGUAAGAGAAAAACAUUGUUUAAUGACUGACAGAUUCGAAGCGAAUAAAGCUAGCUGCCCCCCUCCUGGCGUCUUGAGUGUGUGGUGACCGGCAACAUUGCCUCUCGAUCUUAUUCCUCGAGCGUUGGAAGAAGGCGGAGAGGACCUUGAUGAGAAAUAAUAAUCUAGAGCAAUUUCAUAAUGGUCCGUCACUCUCAAAUGAAAAUCCGUGAGUUAGGUCCAGAUGACACACCGUGCAAAUAAAGGGACUGCCAGUAAAUUUUACCCAAUAAUAUAAUACAAAAAGAGAGCAAUUUUAGAUUUAGAUUGAGUCAAACUUUCUUAAACUGAUAAAUUUAUAGAAAAAUAGUAUCAACAUUUAUGUCAAUAGAAAUAUAUUUCGUCAUCAAUCUACUGAUAUUUAUUUUGCAUCAUAAUUCUUAGUAAUUUCUUUUGUAUAAAUUUAAUUAUUUAUUUCAUGGAAAAAUAAUUAUUUAUUUUUUAGAAAAUGGUAAUUAGAUUCUUUUUAGGAUGAAGGAAAUAAGAGAAAGAAUCGUUUGGUUUAUCUGCCAAUGACAAAAGGGGAGAUGCAAUGACGCUAGGCUUGGGUUUGCUCGCCGGAUAAACCACGGGGAACCCAUUUUUUCAAAGAAAAAAAUAUAAAUAGGGUUACUUUUCAAAAUAAAAUUAGGUGGAUAAUGCGACUAAUUGUUUCCAAAAAUCAAACUAGCAAUCUUCGCAAUUGUCAAAUUAGAAACACAAACCCGACGUCUUGGGCCUUUUUUUUUAAAGAGAGAAAAGGGCCGGCCUGUGACCAGAAAAGAAAGAAGGCCCGCACGUAUCUAGGGUGGAAAAAAAAAAAAGGAAGAGUCCAACAAACCGAUCUCCUUCGUCGCCGUCGUCUUCGGCGGCGCCGCCGCCGCCCAAUUCUUCGGCCACCUCCGCUGCAAUAGGUUCGAUCGACUCCACCUCGUCAAGUUGUAUUUUCCACAACCAUGUGUUUUCACUUCCUAUAUCACCAUCCUAUCGCAUCUGCCACCCAUCAGGCGAUCGUCGGCGCCGCCGCCGCAAAAAAAUGCCGGCCUCGAAGACGGUGUCGACGAGCGCCGCGGAGACGGAUCUAGGCACGCACGUGUUUCACGUCGUCGGCUACAGCCACCAAAAGGCCAUCUGCGCUCACAAGGAUACUAGCAUCCUGUCCGGCCGUUUCUCCGUCGGCGGCCAUGAAUGGGCCUUGGUUCUUGUGGCUGAUAUCUACAACGACGACCACCCUGAUUGCGUCGCAAUUUCGCUCCUCUUGGACCCUUUUGCCGCGCCGGGGGUACUGGCGUCCUUCGAGCUGAGGUUGGUCAACCAGAGCACUGGGUUGCCCUUCACGGUGCACAAGGAGGCACCGAUGGUGUUCGAUGACAAUAAUGACAUGGCAGCUACUUGCUGGAUAAAAAGGAGCCUGUUAGAAUCGCCAACAUACCUCCAGAAUGAUCGCCUCACAGUUGAAUGUAUUGUCACUGUUAUCAAAGAACGACUGGUCUCUAAAACCAAAUCACUUCCCAGAAUCGAAGUGCCACCACCUAACAUGGCUGAGAAUUUUGGUAGUCUGUUGGAAACAGACUUGGGAGCGGAUGUCACAUUCAGUGUGGGAGAUGAGACUUUCAAGGCACACAAGAUUGUCCUUGCCACACGGUCACCUGUGUUCAAAGCUGAGCUCUAUGGGCCUAUGAAAGAGGAAGGAAUGAAGCCUAUAACCAUCAAAGAUAUGCAACCAGAUGUUUUCAGGGCCUUGCUGCGUUUCAUCUAUACCGACUCUUUACCUCCGUUGGAUGAUCUUGAGGCAGAUGAUCAUAGUGAAAUGAUCCGUCACUUGCUUGUGGCUGCGGAUCGAUAUGCCAUCGAGAGGCUAAAGCUCAUUUGCCAAAGCUUUCUUUGUGAAAAUCUUAAUGUGCAGACCGUGGCAACCACUCUGGCUUUAGCUGACCAGCAUAAUUGUGACAUAUUGAAGGAUGCUUGCAUUGAUUUUAUCACCUGUUCAAAUGAGAUGGAUGGUUUGCUGUCAAGUCAAGGUUACAAGAAUCUGAAAAGAACCUGUCCUGCUGUUGUGAUAGAUGUGUUUGAGAAGACAAGCAAGUUUCGUAAGGCGUGAGCAGUUUAUCUUAAGCUUAAUUAUCUGUUCAAAGUUGUUUCACUAAGGCCUUGUUUAGAUGUGAAAUUUUUUUGGAUUUCGCUACUGUAGCACUUUCGUUUGUUUGUGGUAAAUAUUGUCCAAUCAUAGACUAACUAGGUUCAAAAGAUUCAUCUCGCGAUUUACAGUCAAACUGUGUGAUUAGUUUUUAUUUUCAUCUAUAUUUAAUGCUUCAUGCAUGUGCCGUAAGAUUCGAUGUGACAGAGAAUCUUGAAAACUUUUUGGAUUUUGGUGUGAACUAAACAAGGCCUAAAAAUGAUUAGCUUGCCAGCUUUUAGCAUUGCAGCUCAUCCUAACUUGAACCUAUGGAUGAAUACCUCACUGUUAAAUGAGUCUAAGAGAGAUUAGCAUAGUUUUAUGUAGAAAUAGCAUGUUAGUGUUAAUGUGUCCUCUCACCAUUUGUUGGUGAAGUCUUGAGACUUUGCAAACAAAACCCUGAUUGUAUCUCCUGUUGUCUGAAGUUUGAUUGUGCGCUUCUCUGCAAGGCUGAUGUUCCCAAUAUUACCAUUAGACUUCUACAUAUGUUUCCUUGCCGUCUACGACCUUUUGCAUAUUUAAAUUUCCAUGUACUUUAAACUUUUGAUGCUAUCACAAUUUUAGUUGUGCCUCCAUGGGAAUUAAGUUUAACCAUUUAUGCAACAAUUGAAGUACAAUUUUGCAUAAGUUUUUAGGCUAAUGUGCUUUGACUGUUUCCUCAAAUAAAACAUUAUCAUGCUGAAUUCUUGUUUUGAGUAAAUGAAGUGACUUAUAAUGGUGCCAAAGGUAAUUCUGAAGACUGGGUUCUUGUAGCUGAUCAACAGCUACAGUCAGUGUCUAAGCCCUUUGUUGGAGGUGUCUUUGGGGUGUUGUUGUUCAAAGGGCUUAGGCACUAUUUUUUGGAAUGACUUGAGCCUCAGAAGUAAGUAUUGACCUUCAGGACUUUGUCUUUUUGACGCUUUGAUUUCAAUAGACAAUUACACUUAGAUUUACAGACUGGAUUGACUGCAAUUAGACUUUAUUUCCUUCAAUCCUAGUUAAUGAAUAUUAGAUUCUUUGUCAAUUGUUCUACUGUCAUAUCCAUGUUAAAAUUAAGAAUAUUGUUGCAAUAGUCAAGCAUUCUCGAUGAAUGAAGAGACAAUAUAAUUAGGCAGUUCUAUAAGAAUCAUCUACACUGACCUGCAUAUAUUGGAGUUUAUGAGGUUAAUGGAAAUGCAAAGUUUCAUGUCAUUUUGCAUAAGUGUCAAAGUCAGACAGCACCAAGUUCAUUCUGUUGUAACUCCUUAAUUAAACGGCAUUGUUCAGACAAUACCAAGUUGAUUCUGCCUUAACUCUUUAGAUGGCACUGUUCUUUUUAUGUUUCAAUAAUUGACGGCAACAUUAUGUCGACGAGGACAAAUCGUCUAGUUCAACGGUGGUAGGCAACUUCACCGUUGGGAUGCAGUUACAGACCGUGUUCAUAGCGUCUUCACUCUUCAGGGCUUGCUUUUGUUUGUUUGAUUAUGCUUGCUCCAUUGAUUCCUGCCUACACUGAUAAGGAAAGGGGAGAUGUCAAGGGAACCAAAUGAUGUUGUCAGUUGUUGCCUAUGCUUUAAUUGAGCUAAUCCCGCAUCUCCUGAAUUUUAGCUACAUCGGCAAUCCAUUUUCUGGUGCUUCAACUAUGUUUCAAUUUUGCUGUUCUCCAAUGGCAGCAAGGUAUAAAUACUCAAAAAAGUAUAAAUACUCAAAAAAGUAUUUAUGUCUUCUUUCAAAAGCCUGUCAUACUUGUUAGGAUUUGAUUUUUCAUAGCAAAUUCGCGUGCAACAUUUCAUUUUAGAGUUGCGUACUAUAAGGAAAGCUAAAUUUUCUGAUGGGAAACUCAGUGUGAGAAUGGAUUGAUGCUGAAGUUAUGGGGUUUGUCCGAAAAGAGGGCGCCACUCACAUUAGAUUGUUAAUUGGCAACGGGAUUGAUUGAGUUGGGGCGAUCUGUUUAAUUCAUUCAUUCGAAUUGGAAUAUACGAAUGUUUAAAUUUUAUAUGCCGUAUCAGUAAUUAUCAUGACCAUUUUGUAUAUACAAGGCCAGUAAUCAGAUGGAAACCAACCAGCCAUUUCCAUGUGAGAGGUUCUCAACAUGCCCUAAUCGAACUACGACAUCGAGUUGUAGCAAGGCUAUUUAUGUCCUUUUUUUUCAAAUAAAAAGAGAAGAUGCAUAUCAUUGCAUUAUCGAAGAGAGUCUAAAUGGCACACACCACACGACACUCACACUGUUACAUUAAACAUAUGCACCCAUGAGAAAAAAAAGAAUAAGGCCACCGACAUCUCAACCAUCAGAUCUCAGUCGAUUAAGUGGCCGUGCCGUGAGCGAAAUUUUGAUUGAUUGCCUUGUAUGUCUGUCAUGGAUGACUGCAUGUUUUGGAAGGGGAAAAGAUAAUCAUCCACAAGCAAGAUUUCUUGUGACAUUAUUCUGAAAUCUGAAAUUAUGUAUAAAUGGUUUGAAAACAUACCCAUACAACUCAUCAUGGUAGGCCUUGUUUAGUUGCGAAAAAUGAAAAGUUUUUGGUACUGUAGCACUUUCGUUUGUUUGUGACAAAUAUUAUCCAAUCAUGGACUAACUAGGAUCAAAAGAUUCGUCUCGUGAUUUACAGCUAAACUGUGUAAUUAGUUUUUGUUUUCGUCUAUAUUUAACGUUUCAUGCAUGUGGCAUAAUAUUUGAUGUGACGGGAAAUCUUGAAAACUUUUUGGUUUUCCGGAUGAACUAAACACGGCCGUAGUCUGUCUCUUCUCAUUCACAGAUCUGCCGCCUUCAGUAUUUACCAGAAUCUACGGAUAUGCCACCAGCAGAAGAAUCUUCUAUUUAAAUGAAGGAAUUGUAUCUGCAUCUAUAUUCAAUAACAUAUCUACAAAACCAUAUCUUCGGCUAUCCUCAUUAUCCAGCACCCUUGAUGUUGACGACAAUUCACCAGUUUUAUGAAAACAUGCAAUUUGUAGCUCAAAAAAGACCCAUUAAGAUACUCAAGUAAUCACAUAAGAAAACCUAAACCAAUAGCUCCGACCUUCUUGCCAUCUUAAAAUAAGUGAUGGGUGUGGCUCUGUACAGAGCAAAAGCUGCAACUCGACUUUGUGCUUCCUGUUCAUAAAUCCGGUUUAAUAAUGGCAUUUUAGAUAAGAAGAGAUAACAUUCUAUUUGAUUUGCUAUGCACUGAUAUCUCAGUGUACCAUGUACAAAAAAUGAUAAUUAUUAUCAUGGAGAGAAGUGCCAUAAUAGAAUAAUAAUUAGCUGAAUCAAAUUAUUUGUAAGAAGCAUUAUCAUACAAACAGAAAAGUUAUAACCUGGACAGAUCAAUAUCCUUCAUCUAGUUCAUGUAACUGGAUUUUAUACCACGGCCAGUAGCUCCCUGCAACGCAUUAACAGAAUAUACAAAUUUGCAAUCUCUCUCAGAUACAAGUUUGCCAUCUCUCUCAGAUGCUCCAUCCGAAAUGAUGAUAAGGCAUUCAAAUAAUCUUAGAGAGUCAAACCAUCUUAAGUUCGACCAAAUUUAUAUGAUAACAUAAUAACAUUUAUGGUGUCAACUAAGUAUCAUUAGAAUCUUUAUUAAUUAUAUUUUCAUAGUAUCUAUUUGAUGCCAUAAAUCUUUGUAAUUUUCUCUAUAAUUUUGACCAAACUUGAUGACUCUCCAAAAUUCUUAGAAUGACUAAUAAUUUGGAAUGGAGGGAAUAUUUUAUUAUACUUUGGUGUUUCCCAACCAAGUUUAUGACAACUUUGGUGUUUCCCAACCAAGUUUAUGACAACUUUUGUAGAACAGCUUUUCACAUUUUACCAUAGUCUCCCUGUAGUUGAGCAAAAAAAAAGGCUAGAAAAUAGUGCAUAGUAAAAGCGCAAAUCUAACAUGAAACAUGUCCCACCACUAUGAAGAAAAAAGGGAAAAAGCACUUGGACCUUCCAUAUAUCAUCUAUGUUUCCAAGAAGAUGGCCACAACCAUCAUGUGAUAAUUUCUCUAUUUGUUGGUGUUUCAAGAUUUCUGGAGCCACAGCCUCCCAAGCAGAUGAGUCUUCAAACUUCAAAGAACAUGCUAUCAAGCUCUGCCACCUCUUCAUCUACCUCCUUUGUAUAAGUUCUAUCCUUUGUAUAAGUUCUAUCGACAUCCUAGGAAUAGCCUUUUUAAAACCAGAUCCUUCAUCAACAUUGCCUAUACUCGCAGAUUUUUUUCCCCAGUUGCCUCUAAAUCAUUCUUAACACCCUGGACAUUUGCAGUUUCAGAAUUUGAAGAUACAGAAUUGGCAGGAUGGCUUAUAUGUCGGUUCAGGCUUCCAUGCUUGGAAUUCUUUUUUGCAGCUGUAAAGUGUGGGAGGGAAUCAUAAAUAGAUCAGUGUUAUCAACUAUGUAAAACUUCCAAAAACUUGUCAGGGCCAUGUAUUAAAAACUAGUAGACGACAUGUGUCAUAGUUACAACAUGAAUGCCAGUAAUACAAUGAGCAAGGUUACCUUGCUCUAACGCCUAUUUGGCCUUGUGCUGACAACUUCAAAACUUUGUAAGGAGUGAUCUUCCCAUGUAGAGGAAUCAUUGGAAUUUGCAUCCUCCUCCUAACAUCAGUGACAUCCAAAAGAAAAAUUAUACAAUUAUAUAUCAAUAAACAUGGUAUUAAAAUAAAGGAAAAGGAAUAACAGCUAACAAAAAAAUUGAUGAAGUGGUAGAGGAAUCAUUCAAUUGGUUGUGAAAUUGUAUGCAUAGGAUAUUCCAAUGUUGGGUACAUGCAAUGCAAUGCCCAUAUCAGCCGUAUAUUUAUAUUUUACUGCAAUAAUCUCUCUGAUACAUUGACACCGCUAAGUGACCGGUGACAGACAUGUUUUCAUAAUUUCCCAUUCAUGUGGGUUGUUCCCCAGCUUGGAACUUGGAAAAGCUCGUAUGCUUUCUGGGUAUUACCUCACGCUUUACAAAAAAAAAUAACUUUUGUUUCAAUCUGUUAAGUGUUAACUAUCCUCACCACAGGGUAUUACCUCACCCUACAAAAAACUACACAUUGGAGACCAUGUACUGAAACUGCGGUGAGGAUAGUUAACGGAUUGAAACAAAAGAUAAACCGUGAGCAAAAGAGAUAAGAAAAGACUUGAAUCGUUGUGAAACAGAUUUCUCAGUGAACAACAGUUCCAUCUUGCAUAACCAUUUCUGAGUUUUUCUUUUCCAAAUAAUAAAAACAUUGGGCUACUUAGACUAGCACAACAAAUAAAUUGUUUGUCUUCUAAACUGCAAGUUGCACAGGUUCAUGAGGUAGAGGCUCUUAGUAUCCAUGAGAAGUUCAGUACAACCUCAGAGAAGUAUUCAGAACGAUACAAUUACAGAAUAAACAAGCAGACAAAAAAACAUAAUAUAGAGUACUAAGGGGGGUGUUUGGGACUGCUCUGCUCCACGUUUUUCAGCUCCGCUCUACGUUUUUUAGCCAAACGGUUUCAGCUUCACGCACUCAGUUCGAGAAAAAAGGGUGGAGUUGUGAGAGCACCUAAAGAGGUACUCCACGAACUCCAGUUUUUUGUGGAGCUACUCCACGACGGAGUUUAUGGAGCAGAGUUCGUGGAGCAGUCCCAAACACCCCCUAAGAGAUGACUCAAUUCAAGUGAUAAAUUUACUUGUUCAUUCAUCUAUACCUCCUCUUGCUGGUCCAGGUACUGACGAAUCCAUGCAGCUUGCAACAACCGCCCAUCAUCCAGUGACACAGUCUCUUCUCUCCACCCACCGAUUCUAACUUCCAACCCCUCAGUGCAUCACCUUCACCUCCUCAGGUUCACGACUCUGGCACGCAAUUGUCCUUGGCACUGUGGACAGUACUUUAACAGAACCUUCGGUUCCUACAUCACAUACCAACAAUGUGAUCAUCACAUGAUUGUAGCAUGAAAGAGCAACACCUAAUUAAUCAACCAAUCAGCGCCUAUACAAGUGGAAAAGAAGAGACAAACCAGUGAAUUCAUGGGCUGUUGAGAGUAUUGGUCCAAACAACAUCUGAAGAGGAAGCCUAAGGUCUAGACUACAGCAUCAGGGAAUGAAGCAUCAAACAGAACAGAAAAAUAUAAGACAAACAGAGGAAAGGAAGCAAAUCUUCCUCCUCCCCAUCGAGAUCCUCUUCCUCCAAUUAUCCCUGCGAUUGCUCAUGUAGUCAGUUAUUUAUUACAAGUCCCGUAAUCAGGUUGAUCUCACCAGUGGCCAUGGGUGUGACAGCCAGCUCACAGAUAAACAAGAAUCACAGAAUGCAGGCAAAUGAGCACCCUAGUAGACUGGUGAGAACACAAGCACACACACACAGAUAAAUGUGUGUAAACAUGUUGAACCAUUCAUCACCUAAUAGACCUUAAACCCCUUGAAAUUUCAUACCUGUGAGAGGAGGUGGUGCUGCUGCCAAUGGAGAACUUGAGGGGGAGCUCAUAACCAGGCAGAUUAUAGCAUAGCCAGUCCAACGCCAAGUCAGACGUCACUGAAUCCUACCUCAUAAAAAACAAAGACAAACAAAAGGGCACAAGAACAAGCACGACAAAACAAAAACAUAUUUCUCCACAAACGAGGGUGGCAAUUCCUGAUCCAGUGUACCCCAAACACUUAAGAGUUCUUGUUCACAUGAACAGGUUAACACAAGCAGGCAUCACACCACAAACAGCAGCCCCUCGUUCACCCCUGCAAACUGUGUAUCAUAAAAAGGAAGGCAAAUAAACCCUGCUUUUGUAUGAAUUCAUGAAUCAAAUAGUAUGAUAGAUUUCCAAAAACAUUGGACUCAAUAAACACUGGAUCUACUUGGCAAAUCAAUCAAUAUAAUAGAACACAAUCCAGAACAAUAACAACUUAGUAUAGAACAUCCUGUAACAGCAUGUACCAGAUUAAAAACGAAAUUAUCCGCGAUUAUUUAACCACCUCGAUCCUAUUACAAGAUCACUCAGGCAGGAUUGUGAUCCACGCAGGCAGGAUAGCUAAUCCACAACAGCCAGCCCAGCCUAAACCAUACCACCACAUACUAGAACACAAAGUCACACAAUAAUAGAGUAGCCCCGCAAGGAGAAAAAGAUUUCUUAGAUCUUGUCGAUGUCCUCGUCCUCGAACUGGAUGUAGUCGCUGCCCUCCUCGCCGUCCUCGGGCCCAUCGACGUCGACGCCCUCGUUGAGCCUGAGCGUCUCGGGGAGCUCCCCGUAGGCCUUGAGCAGACGCGCCUCGUCGUUCAUGUACUUGAGGAUGACGUCAGCCUUGUCGUCCUGGUAGUCGCGGAGGCCGACGAGGACGAUGUCCCCGG